AGGCUGGUGCUCUUCGUGAGAGCUUGACCAGGAAGAAGCGUGUCGGUUGGGAAAUCGAAGCUCUGCCAUAUCACAACGUCGGAGGAAAUGUUCUGGCUUUCGAGGAGUACGAGGUUGCCGUUGUCUUGCAAACGUAACUGGACUUGUUUAGAUGUGGCGGCAGUGUUGGUGGACCAGACUUGGAACUGGGCGGCGUCGGUGAGAACGAGGUUGCCGGAUUUGAGAAGGGAGAGGGUGGAGCGUUUUCCGUUAACGGGGUGGUCCCGGUUGGCGAUCCAAACGAGGGUGUUGGGUGAGUUGGUGUACCAUAUUGCGAAGCAGAAAGCGUUUUGUCCGACGGCGUAAAAGCCUGCUGUGAAUGUUGGUUUGGGUGAUGACACUAUCACGUCUUCUUUCAACUUCUCUACGGAGAGAGACAAGGAAGAUGAAGCAUGCAACUUAUGGAACAAUAUCAGAGGAAUCAGAACACCCAAACACACUCUUGAACAUGCCAUUUGCAUGAUACUGCGUGCUAAUGUUGAAGUUCAUGUCAUUAUUUAAAAUGAAAGAGAACAAAAGAAGCCACCAUUUUCCUCUGCUUUGUUCACUCUUUUCUCAGUACUUUCCAUCGUUUUCUUGUUUCUCAAAGAACUGAAAAGUCAAUUGUCAAAUGAUAAAUAAAGUUCGUUGGUUUUUAUAAGGAAAAUGAUGGUUAAACCACUGGCACCGCAGUUGCUCAAUCAUACAACUAUCUACGUGUCAAAGUAGUGUGAAAGUUAAUAUUAUUUUAUUGAAGUUGUGGAGCAGUUUAAUACGUUUAAUAGAUUAAAAAUUUCUUUAAAGGUCAGAAAGGAUAAAAAUUAGGGUUUAAGAUAUUGGGGUGUCUUCUUCUUCCGUAGCCAUUGUCUUUUUCAUUCUUGUUCACGUUCCUUCAUUCUCGUGUAAGUGUAUUCUUGUUCACGUUCCUUCAUUCUCGUGUAAGUGUCGUGCGCAUUGUUCUUUAUUGCUGCAAGUGUUGUGCACAUCCUUCAUUCUCGGGCAAAUGUUGUGCACAUUGUCCUUCAUUGUUGCAGUGCACAUUGUCCUUCAUUGUUGCAGUGCACAUUGUCCUUCAUUGUUGCAAGUGCAAGGUCAUGAGAAUAGGACAGUGUGAAGUGAACACAAAAAUUCACUCAACUUAUAGAGUGACAAUAUGUGGUGACCCUAGUAGGAAUAUGUGGUGACCCACAUUACACUUCCUGCACAAACCCAAGAAAAUUUUUUAUGGAAAUGAGAAGUGAGUGUUCGUCUUGGUUGGGGAGGGGCAUGAGGUGGGGAGAAAGUGGGUUAAAUAAGUUUCUUAGAGACCAUGAGAGUAUGACAGUGUGAAGUGACCACAAAAAUUCACUCAACUUAGAGGGUGACAGUAUAUGGUUACCCUAGUAGGAAUAUGUGGUGACCGACAUUAAACUUCCUGCACAAAUCCAGGGAAACUUUUUAUAGAAUGGAAAGUGAGUGUUCACUGCCUUUUAAGGGAGUUAUGUACUAGAUGGGUGGAGAGGAGUCACAGUUUUGUAGUGAACUCUACAGUUGUCUCAUUUACUGUGUUAGAUGUUUUUUUAGGUAUAGGUCUUAAAGUUGUGGGAGACAAAUUUGACUAAGCAAAAAUAGAAAACAAUUGUAAGAGUAGGAGUUUUUUCAAACAUAGUGAUGUAUAUGAGAAAAUGAUUUAUGAGAAAAACUAAUGCUACAUAUAUCCAUGUUGGUGGUUGUGUCUACUUAAUGUAGGUAAUUUAAAAUGUUUAGUUCGUAUGUGUAAUGACUUCCCAUCCAUUUUGUGGUUACUAACAUUAAUUUAUGACAUGAAUUGUGUAGAUAUGGGUUCUUGAACAUUUGUUCUCUUAUAAGCGCCAAGUGCCGAUAUUGGAAAUAGAUAUCCUUGUAUCACAUACUGGAUUAAUGUUAGGCUGGGUGACAUUGAAAUUGCAUGUGGGUCGCAACAAAAUGUGGUUUGUAGAAUACAUGAAAUUUUUAUUAAAUGUAGAAUACUUAAAUUUUUUUUUCAUUUAUGUUGGUAUUUAUUGUGUGCAUGAACAAAUUAUUGUGGACUUAUUUGUAUCCAAUGAAGAGCUGCAAAUGAAUUCGUUCUAUAAGCAUUUGAGGUAGUUCGACGUGGAUUUACAACCAUGUAAAAAAAAAGAUUAUGGUAAAAUGAAGCUGAGAGUAGUUGAUAUGCUUCGCCAAGCGAAGAAAUAAUAGGUUGUCAUUAGCAAUUUGGAGAAGGAGUUGAAAGAGUUACAAGGAUUUUUAACUGCAUAGGCAAAAUCUGAUGUGCAUGAUAGUUCUUCUGUAGAGGAUAACGAACAUCUGUAGAGGUCUUAUGUUGAUGAUAAAGACGUACCCGAAGAACAAGAUGGAAGAAAAGAAAAAAGUAACAAUUCCACAUGAGUCAAGCAUAGAGCAAGAAAAUGUGUGAAGUUGUCAUGAAAACAUCAUGGACUAGCUAUGCAAGGGCAAAAUGAAUUUCUUAGUCAUAAUUAAAAGGAAUCGUACAUGAGGUGUUUAAUACUUAAGUAUGUUUAUUAUGAAAUACUUGUUAAGAAUGAUACAUGUUUAUUUCACUGGGUGUAAUGUGGUUAUAAAAUUUAAUACAUGUAUUUAGCAACUACCUUCUAGUUUUAUCAACUGUAAAUUGAUUGAAAUUUUUUAAGUGUUUUUGAUUCUUAAUUCUCUUCCAUUUAUGUGGUUGAAGUGAAUAUAUUUUUUAAAUUUGUGAUUGUUGAAAGAGACCCUUUUACUAAAGCAAUAAGAUAUCAAUGAAUAAGACUAAUUAGGUAUCAUCAAUAAGAAAAAAUAUUGAUUUUAGAAAGAUUUGAGGGUAUAAAAUUUUAGAAGAUAAAAGGAUAAGAUUUUAAAAAAUUAUAAAAAAUGUAUAACUAGUGUGAAUAUGGUUGAAAUUUGAUUACGUUUAAAUUAAUACAUUGAAGUCGUCUUACUUGACCUGAUUUUAAUAUUUAUAUUUUUUUUAACGAAAUUUUUGUGAUAUCAUAAUCUUGUAUCUAUUUUGAUAAUUUUUAAAAAUUUCAUCUAUUUUAAUAAUUACUUAAUAAAAAAGAAGAAAUUGAUGGUUUAUGUAUGGAAAAGUAAAAUAAGAAGUAAACGCUGCGAUGUGAAGUGGUAGAUGAAAUUAUUUAAGAUGGACAAAUCAAAAACAUGUGCCGCGUGUCCCUUCGGUCAAAAUAUCUAAUUUCAACAAUGAUAAGAAAAAGUUAUAUCGAAAAUAAAAUAGAAAUUAAAGGCAUGUUUUUGCUCUCAAUGAUAAAAAAAAAUUAUAAUAAGAGAUUUUCCUACCAAUAUUAAUCAUAGUCAAUAUGUUUACAUUUUUAUGGCUUUGAAAGGAGGAUAUGAUAAAAAAAAGCUUUGUUUUUUCAUUAUAUAUAUAAAAAAAAGACGGUAGAAGAUAGAGAAAUUCACUUUCAAUUUAAAAACUCUUUUUUUUUAUCAUAAUAUAUAUAUAUAUAUAUAUAUAUUAAUUUCUACUUGUACAUAAUUAUUUAAAAGUAAGUCACUUUUAACCUUUUUUGUCAAUUAAUCACUUCGAAAAUGUUGGAAAUGGGAAAGUUCAGGGAAUUGCAAUGAAGACCAAAGAAGUGAUUGAGUAGCUCAAUUUGAAUACAGUAAUGAGAAGUCAGAAAAGAAGACUUAGAGAUGCAUUCUUUAUGUUCUUCUGUUAUCUAUUCACAUUAGGAAGAGAAAAGUUUAUUAUACUAUUAUUUUCUUCUUAUAUUUUUUUAUAUAUAUUAUAAAAAAAAGUAAAGAAAACCUGUGUAAUCUUUCAAAAUUAAGAGAAUAUUUUAAUAAUUUCAUAGAGACUAUAAAGAUUUAAAGUGGUAUAGAUAAGGAUGAAAAUGAAAUAUUUCUAAGUAUGUAAAUUUUUUAAAAAAUAUUUCAAAUUACAAUUUUUGAUAGAUUUUAUUUUUAAAUAAAGAGAAAGAAUUAUUAAAUAAAAAGUAAAACCACAAAAAAAGUCAUACUUGCAAUAGUUUUCAAGCAAUAGUAGAAAGAGAGUAUUGCUAAAAAAAGAGAGAGAAAGAAAAGAGAAUUAGAAAAAGUGUCUAUCCUUUCGUCCAAAGAAGAAUUAUUCUUAUAGGUUUACUCUAAUGGUGUGAUUACCAUUACUGAAAUAAUUUAUUGAUUUAGUGUAAUUUGUUUUUAUAAUUACCUAAAUGGGUAAGUUCUAAAAAAAAUCCAAAUUAGUUCAAUUGGAAGUAGUAGUAGUACUAACACCAGUUUAUGGUGGAAGUAUCUUUUUUAAUUCUCAAAGUGUAGCCAUAUGUUUUAAAUGAUUCUAGUUUAAGUUUUAAAGUUUUUUGUUUUUUCAAAUAUUAAUUAAAUAUAAUAUUUUUUGCAAAUACACAUGUCCUAACUUUGAAUUUAUGUUUAUUUUAAAAUGGAAUUUAUGUAUAAAAAAUAUGAGAAAAGAUAACGUAUUCAUAGUAAAGCAACGCAUGAAAAAUAAGUUAUUUAUUUAGAAACUAGCUAUGCAUACAUCUAAUCAUUUAUAUUAAUAAUAUUAUAAUGAUAACUUUCAUUUCAAUUCAAAGAGCAUUUAUAAACCCAAAUGUUAUCAUGUGUUGAGAAGUUCUUUUUAUUAUUCAAUUGUUGUCGUGCAAUUGAGAAGUUCUCGUGAUGAUUAUUAUGUAGUAACUUUUUUUCACCCAAACAAAACUUUAAUAUAGAUUUAUGUAAAAAUGUUCUUUUAUAUCACAUCAUAUAAACAAAUAUUUUUAUGUUAGCUUACUAGGUAAGUGGAAGUGGAGGUUGAAAUAUGAGGCAAGUGGUUAUGAAAAAACAUUGUUCAAUUUAAAUAUAAAUAUAAAUAUAGUAGUAUGAGAAAUAAGUGUAAUAGGUGUAAAGAGUGAAGAUAACGAAAGGAUAUUAAGGAUAUGGAUGAACUUGCAAUGUUCAGCUAAGUAGGGUUCGACUUGAUAAGAGAAUUUGGAGAAUAGGUGAAAAUCAUGAGUUCUCUAGCAAAUCAACUUAGAUGUAUUACAACAUCAUGGUACGAGGGUGAGAUGAAAUGUUUUUAGGUCUAUGGAAAGUUAAAACAUUUUUCUUGGCAUGUCCUCGUAGGGGUGUCCAUUUCAGUGACAAUUUGUGUGUUUAUUGCUCAGUUGAUUAUAACAUUAUGAGUAUAAUUUUAUUCACAUUUUAAAAAUUUAAUCAUAUUUUCUUGGAUUGUAAUUAUGAAUGAAUUCACUAUUUUAAAUGAGAUUAAUUUAAUUAGAUUUAUUUGGGUCUUAACUAUCAUUUCUAUUAAUUAUGUGUUGUUAGAGUAAAUGGUCGGCUAGACAGUCUGAAUGAAGUUUCUACCUUUGUGAGUGAGCCAUGCAAAUGUCCAAGUUGAUUCUUUGAAUCAAAACAUAAAAAGAAAUUUGAGGAGAAGAAUAAGAGAAUAAAAUCUACAAUAUUAAAAAAAAACAGAAUUGGAAACAAAUUUCAUGCAAAACACAAAGAAACAAAAUCAUGAUAAAUCUGGAAAUAGAAUUGUGAUAAAAAGGAAACAAAAUUCGAGAAUUCUAGAAAGUUGGAAACGGAAAACUGUUAACAAAAUCUGAACCAGAAUAUUUUUCUGAGACCCUUAGAGCAGCAAAACCUAUUGAAACAUACAAGCUUCAAUGAGAAAUCAUCAAACUUCACAAUAACGUUUGAAAAAGAGAUCAUGAAGGUUUUCUUAGUUUUCUAGUUUUCUUCUUUCUAAUACUUUUGUUUUGCCUUCGCAUGUAAGGAUAAACUCCUUUGAGUUGAUUCUCUUGUAAUUUCAUAAUGAAUUAUGAGAUUUUGUGCAGUUAAAGUUUUGUUCUUCAAUAUCUGACUGCGGUAAAAUGUUUAGUAUUUUUUUGAGUUUAAUUGCUAUUUUGGAAAUUGUUUUUAAACACAUGUUGAUAAUUCAAUUCUAUCUUUAAUUAGACUCAUGUUUAGUUUCCUGAAAAAUAUCUUGAGCGCAUGAUUCAAGAGGUAAAAGAUAACAAAUAUUUUUAGUAUACGCAUGGAGGAGACAAGUACGGUACCAAAUAAAUUAGUGGACACAUGUUUCAUUAAUGAGAUUCAAAUGUCUUUGGCUGACGUAUGUUGGUCAAUUCAAUUCCUUUUAGACGAUUGAAUGAAUGAUAUAUUUAUUAACUAAUGAAGAAUUCAUUGAUGGAAAAGCCUAAAAGUAAUUAUUUUAUAAUCUCUACUUUAUUUUUCUGCACAACAAUCUCUAUUCCUUUUACUUUAUUGUUAAACUUUUAUUGCAUGCAGAUAGAUUCUUACCACUCAUUUACUGAAUUGACUAUAGAAUUCGAUGGGAGACGAUUUUGGGUUAUAUGACCUUAUUUAUAUAUACUAUAUGAUCUCUUUGGUGUUAGACACUCUCUAUUUAAAUCAUUUUAAUUUUAAUGCUAAACGAAAAUUAUCACACAUCAAUACAUGAAACUAGUGUCAAAAAUGGCUGGCUAUCCGUAAUGUCACACACAAAAGGUCAAAGGACAAUUUUAAUCACUUCAAAAUGUCAUUUUCUUACCUCUAAACAAAACCUGAUUUGAAAAGGGGCGUGGGUUGUGUUAGUGUGGACUAUUUGGAAGCAAAGGAAUUUAAUUGUUUCUCAAAAUCGAAAAAUAGAUGCUAAACAGGUAUUGUGUGUGGCACAGUUGAAGGUAUGUGUUUGGAUAAGAAACAAAUUUCCCUUAUCAUAGUUCACUUACUCAUUUUGAUACUUAAAUCCCAUAAUUUUUUUAAAACAUUAACUUAGGAGAAGAGGUCUUAGGAUACCAACUGGUACACAAAGUACAUGUGGUACACAAAUAUUAAUUCUCUACUAAUGGUUAUGACUCUAGGGCUAAGAUAGAUAGUGUGUGCAGGUGUUCAAGAACAUAAGGGAAGGCUCCUACAAGGGUUGUAAUGAGCAUAGACACAAUGCACAUGAUACAACAAAAAAUAAUAUUAGUGAAGAAUGGACAAGGAAGGUUACCAAAAGCUAUAAAGAUGGUAUGUAGUUUGGAAUUAAAUGGAACAUAACUGCAUUGCCAGAGAAAAACUUUUAGGAAUAGAACAAGUCUGCAUAACAGUGGUGAUUGCUACAGGAAACUACAUAUGAUUGCUCAAUUUAACACAGUAGCCACUUUUAAGCUAUCUAACAGAGCAGAUGUGUUGCCACUAGAUGAACGCAAAAUGAUUUGUGAUAGAGAAGCGUGAACCGACAAAGACACGUAAUUGAGAUAGGCACAACUUUGGAGAAGAAAGUAAAAAACUGAGAAAAUUGUAUUACAUGUUUCUUUGAUUACAAGGUAAAGAAGAUUUAAAGGAAAAAUCUUGCUAAUAGAGUUGGGCCUAAGGAGUACAAUAAAGAGAACGUAAUGGGCCCAUACCAAAAAAUCUGUUAUAACAAAAAUUAAACAAAAACUGUUAAUAUUAAAUAACAAAAACUAAUACUGUUAUCACCCCCCAUCAAGUUGGGAAUAGAUGUUUUUCAUUCCCAGCUUGCAUACAAGCUCUUUGAAGGCAGAAGGAUGGAGAGGUUUGGUGAGGAUGUCAGCUGUUUGCAUGGCAGAGGAUAUCAGAAGUAAUUUGAGAAGCCCUGCAUUGAGCUUUUCUCUGACAAUGUGACAAUCGAUUUCAAUAUGUUUGGUGUGUUCGUGAAAGACUUGGUUAGAUGCAAUCUGUAUAGCAGAUUGGCUAUCACAAUAUAAGGUUGUAGGAGUGAUGAAAGGGACGUGCAGGUCUUGAAGAAGAAAGGUUAGCCACUUGAGUUCACAGGUAGUGGCAACAAGGGCUCUAUAUUCUGCUUCAAAAGAGAUUUUUGAUAUGGUUUGUUGCUUUUUGGAUUUCCAUGAUAUGAGGGAUUCACCCAAAAAAACAGAAAAGCCAAUGACUGGUUUUCUUGAAUCAAGACAUGUAGCCCAAUCUGAAUCACUAUAAGCCUUUAAAUGCAUGGAGCUAUUGCUGAAUAAAAAAAUACCAGAUCCAGGAUACCUUUAAGGUAUCGUAGAAUACAAAAGGCAGCUUGAUUAUGGUUGCUAGUGGAUGCAGAAACAAAUUGGCUUAGAUUGUGAACACUGAAAGCAAUGUCAGGCCUGGUGUUGGUUAGAUAAAUCAAACGUUCAAUAAGUCUGCGAUAAGCCGAGGCUUCUUCAUCAAUCAGUGAAGUUCCUUCAGUGAUGGAAAGCUGAGAUGAAUGUGCCAUGGGAGUGGGCAUAUGGGCACAAUCCUGCAUGCCUGUUUCAUGUAGGAGAUCAAUGGUGUAUUUUAUUUGACUGAGGUGUAUGCCAGAGCUGUUGCGGGCUACUUUAAGACUUAAGAAAUAAGUGAGAGCGCCUAGAUUAUUGAUCUUAAAAUGUUGGUCCAACAUGUUGGUAAUAUGAAGAAUUUCAGCUUUGUCAUUGCCAGUCAACACAAUAUCAUCCACAUAGACAAGUAAUGUAGUUGUAUUAGAACCAGAAUGUUUUAAAAAUAAGGAGUGGUCUGCAUUAGAUACAAUGUAUUUAUUUGAAAUUAAGAAGGAUGAUAGCUUUGCAUACCAUUGUCUCCCAAUCUGACGAAGCCUAUAGAGAGACCUUUGAAGUUUUAAAACACUGUUGGAGUGGGGAAUAACAAGACUAGGAGGUGGUUUCAUACAAACUUCUUUAAUCAAUUCACCAUGUAAGAAAGAAUUGUUGACGUCAAGUUGAGUGAGGGUCCAGUUAUUGGCGGCAACAAUUGCUACGAACAGCCGAAGAGUGGUUAAUUUGGCAACAUGGGCAUAGGUAUCUAGAAAGUUAAGGCCUUCUAAUUGGGUAUAACCUUUUGCUACUAGGCGAGCUUUAUAUCUAUCUAUGGUUCCAUCAUACCUAUGUUUGAUCUUAUAAAUCCAGCGACAACCAAUGACGGUUUUGCUAGGGGGUAGAGAUGUCAUGAUCCAUGUGUUGUUAGUGGCUAGAGCAUCUAGUUCAUCUUUCAUGGCUUGCUGCCAACAACUGUGCUUAGAGGCCUCAGUGUAAUUACGUGGUUCCAUGUGAUAUGAAAUAAAAGAAAUAGUGUGUUUAAAGUUGGGUGAUAAGGAGUGAUAUGAAAUGAAAUUACAAAGAGGAUAUUUAGUACUUACAUUGUUUGUGAGCGGUAACUCAGUGUGAAAAUCUUCUAGGUAUGUAGAAGGUCAUCGUGGACAUGUGGAGCGUCUUGGAUGUGCAUCCAGAACAACUUCAGGAGGAUGAGGUGCAUCCAGAACAACUUCAGGAGGAUGAGGUGUCAGAGUCUCAAGAGGAGCGGGAUCAAAAGAAAAAUCAGAGUUGGAAUCAUAGUUAGAGGGAACGAAUAGAGAUAAAUCAUUGGGAUUUUUCUAGGUGCAGUGUUCAUUUUAUAUGGAAAAUGAUCUUCAUGAAAGACAAUGUGUUUCAAUACUUCAAUAUUAUGGUUAAUGAGAUUUAGAAAAAGAUAACCCUUAGUGUUGGGUUGAAAGCCAAGAAAAAUACCAUGAACAAAAUGUGCAUCAAGUUUCUUUCUAUGGGCAAUAAGAUUAUUGGAGUAACACAAGCAUCCAAAAACACGUAAGCAAGAGAGAUAAAAAAGCUUUCCAUUAAUUUUUUCAUAGGCUGAAGUGUUGCGUAAAAAGGGAGUGGGAAUGCAAUUAAUAAGGAGGGCAACGUGUUGUACAACAAAAUCCCAAAAAAGAGGGGGGCAAGUUAGCUUGAAAAAGCAAGGCACAGGUUACAUUAAAGAGGUGUUGGUGUUUUCUUUCAACUAUGCCAUUUUGUUUAGGAGUUUCAACACAAGUAGUUUGAUGAAUAAUGCCUUUAGAUGAGAAAAAAUCUUUCAUAGCAAAUUCAGCACCAUUAUCAGUUCUAAUAAUUUGAACAGUAGUUUGAAAUUGAUUUUCAGCAUAGGCAAUGAAUUUAAGAAUGUGAUUAUGAACUUCAAAUUUAUUAUGCAAGAGAAUGACCCAAGUAUAGCGAGAGAAGUCAUCAACAAUAGUUAGAAAAUAUCUAAAACCACGCAUAGAAACAAUAGAACAUGGUCCCCAAAUGUCCAUGUGAAGUAAUUCAAAACUUUUAACAAUGACAGAUUUACUUAAAGCAAAAGAAAGUUUCUUUUGUUUUGCACGGUGGCAAGCGUCACAUACAUGCAUUUUUUCAGCAUAAAUGCAUGGGUAUUUAUUUUUCAAAACAUUCAAUCUCUCAUCAGAUAGGUGGCCCAGUCUGUAAUGCCACAAUUUAAUGUUUUCAACAACACAAUUGAAAGAAGAAACAACAUAAGAAGCUUUAGCAUCAACUAAACCAAUCCUCUAUUUGGUUUGAUUGUCUUAUAUCAAAUAAUAGGUAGAAGAAAAGAUUAAACUGCAGUUUAGGGUGAGACUGAGUUUUGAAGCAAAUAUGAGGUUAAAAGCAAAUUGAGGAACAUAUAAAACAUCAGUAAGAUGCAGUUUGUCAUUGAAAAUAAUGGUUCCAAAAAAUUAGGAAAAAACAUGAUGACCAUUAGGUAUGCUGAUUUGAAUGGGUUUAAUGCUCUUAUGAGAAGAAUAUUCAGAUAGAGAUAUGCAUACAUGGUCAGUGGCCCCUGAGUAUAUAAGCCAAUAGUUUUUAGCAUUUUGUAAUCAUUUAAAGCGUACAUAUUACUAGUUGGAGUCUGUUCAACAACUUUGUGUGAGGAAUUCACAAUGAAGGAUCCCACUUGAUUCACUAGCGCUUGGCUGGUAGUGGCUCCAUUAGCAUGUUGCUUGAGAAUGUCAACCAAGGCCUGAUACUACUGCAUAGAGAGGUGAAAAACACAAUUUUCCUGUUCUUUCUUGGCAUGCUCAGGAAAAACAUCAUUAGAUAUUACAACAUUAGCAACACUAGUUUUAUGAAGCUUAUACUCGGGGGCGGGGGGGGGGGGGGGGGGUAUGACCUGCCCUAUUACAGUGGGUACACAGUUUCUUGUUGUUGUUACUGCCAUAUUUUUAAACUUUUUUUUCUUGAUUAGGAAAACCAAUUUUGCGGAAGCAAGCAUUUUCGGUAUAACCAUUCUUACCACAAAAAGAGAAAAUAGCAGGGAUACUCCAAUUGGAAUUAACACUAUUAACACUAGUGGUCAGAAAAUUGCUGGCUAAUUGGCACUCUUGUUGAGCCACAAGAGAAAAAAAAUUGGUUAUGGGAGGCAUGGGUUCCAUAAGAAGAACAUGGGAUCUUAUAUUUUGAUAUUGAUCAUUCAGUCCAUGCACGAACUGCAUAGCCUGAUCUUCACACCUUCUUUGAUUAAUAACAGAUAAAACGGAACAUGAACAUUUGGUUGCACAGACACAUAUAGGAUUAGGCCUAAAAUUUUCCAAUUCAUCCCAAACAAUUCUGAGUUUAGUGAAAAAUUCAGUAAUAGAUAAAUCCCCUUGUUUUAAAGAAGCAACUGUUGAUCAAGAGUGAUCAAGUGCUUUGAAGAAUCCAAAUCCUAUGUGUUUGAUGAAAGGUUGGUGUUGCUGCUGUGUUUGGGUGGGAUCUGGGUAGUUUAAUUUGUAAUCCACUCAAGAUGUGAUUCCACUAGCCAUAUAGAGAAUGAUUCUUGACAUUCUUAGGAAUCACCUUGAGCUGGACAUUAUAGAGGCACUUUUCUUAGAGUUGGAUCAUUGUUCUAAGACAAGAACUCACCAAAAACUAGUACCAAAUCCCAAACUCAUUUGGAUGCUCCACAUAUUGUCAAAUUGAAUCAACAAAGAGAGGUAAAAUUGAAAGGACCGAACAGAAUUGAAUAAGCAAACAUAUGAACCGAACAAAAGUGAAAUUAAAAGACAAGAACAAAAUAUAGGUGCUGGAAAAACAGAAAAACCGAACCAAACAACUCAAGAACACAAGACAACAUGAACAAUUGAAAGAGAAGAAAGGAAGGAGAAGAGAAUGCUCAUGAAGAUGGAAGAAUGUUGGAUGAUCUCGCCACUAGAAGUGUGGAAUGCUCUUAGAUGAGAGUGAUGCCGCCACUUGAGGACUCCAAUGAUCCAUCAAGAUAAGACUAGAGAAGAAGGCUCCAAAAGCUCUCCAAAGUUCACUCAAAAUUUGAGUAGAGUUUUCUUAGAUUAAUUCCAAUCUGAAUUUUACAAAGGAAGCACCUCUAUUUAUAGCCUAAGGUGCUGAAAAAUAGGUGGGAAAUUUCAAAUAAACUCAUUUGAAAUUCCCACCAAAAACAAGUCACAUGGGAGGUGUGACCUUUUUCUACUAUGACACCUCCCAAAAACUACACCUACACCACUUUCCUAAGUCACAUGGACAAUGUGACUUUAUUUUUCAUUUUCACACACCUUUAUUUAAUAACCACACCUCCUAAAACUAUACAAGAGUAUUUCAAAGCUUGGCCUUGCCCCUCAUGGGAUGGACUUGGGCUCUUUGGGCUUUGGCCUUCUUGGGCUUGGGCUUGGGCUUUGGGCUUGGGCCUCAUCUUUAUUUUAUGUCUUCUUUUAAUUUUGAGAAGACUAGAAGGAAGAACUUCAAAUGUGAGGGUGGAUGUCCUCUUCCUCCAUUAAUAAAAGCCUCCUUUAUUUGAUUCUCAUCACAUGACAAGUUGCUCUAGGCACUACUUCACACAAAAAAUUGUUUUUGUAGAUGCUUAUAGAUAACUUGACAUUCUCUUGGGGAUAUCCUAGCACAUUUGAGAAAUAGUCUUUAUCUAUGCAAGCUUCUUUUAGAGACUCUUCUUUUUUUAUUAUGCUUGCAAGUGUUCCUUUACAAGAGGGAAGGCUAGGUUGUUCAACAAGAAGCAUGUUUUCAAGGGUAUUUUCAAUGUGCUUGUCUUAUUGAAUGACCUUGUGGGAAGGAACACUCUUCUCCUACGCCUUUUGUUUCCCAAAAGUUUUCUCUUUUUCUAUUUUCUCUUCAUCCCUUUUAUGUUUCAUUUGUAUUUGGUCUUUUACCACUUGGGAAUGUGGUAAAGGGCUAAGUACAAACUUUUUGUGCUUGUGGAUGAAGAAAAUCUCGUUAGUUAGACCAUCAUGCAAGGUUUUCUUAUCAAAUUACCAUGGUCUACCUAAUAAGAUGUGGCAAGCUNNNNNNNNNNNNNNNNNNNNNNNNNNNNNNNNNNNNNNNNNNNNNNNNNNNNNNNNNNNNNNNNNNNNNNNNNNNNNNNNNNNNNNNNNNNNNNNNNNNNNNNNNNNNNNNNNNNNNNNNNNNNNNNNNNNNNNNNNNNNNNNNNNNNNNNNNNNNNNNNNNNNNNNNNNNNNNNNNNNNNNNNNNNNNNNNNNNNNNNNNNNNNNNNNNNNNNNNNNNNNNNNNNNNNNNNNNNNNNNNNNNNNNNNNNNNNNNNNNNNNNNNNNNNNNNNNNNAUAGUGGAGACUUCUUCUACCGGAUCCAGAUGAUAUCUUAUAUGCCACAACUUCAACAAGUGUUCCUUCCUAGAAGGAGGAACAAACCUCGCGCGCAUACACUCUUUCAAAGCAUUCCAAGAAACCACGGGAGGUUUCUUGCGAUAUAUAAUGUCCAUUACAAUUUUAUGCCACCAUUCUUUGGCAUAGCCCAAAAAGGAUAAAGAAACUAAUCUAAGUUUUUGGUCAUCUUGGACCUUAUACACAUGAAAAUAAUGGUCAACCUUAGUCUCCCAUUCUAAAUACACAUUAGGAUCACUAUCACCAUUAAAACUAGGGACUUUUUUACAAGCAAUGUUGAACACUUGGUGAUAUCUUUGGUCACGGUUAUAGCUCUCUUCAUGAGAAUGAUAGUGAUGCCUCCUUCUUCUAUGUUCUUCUUCACCAAGGACUGAAGCUUUGGAAGGAGAAUGCUGUUUGUAAGAUGCACCACUUGAAUAGCCAGCCAUUUUGCAAAUAAAAAACAGCAAACGCACAAAAACAGCAAACAAGUUAAGAAACAAAAUUAGCAAAAACAGUGAGCUUGGCAAUGAAACUGCCAAAGUGAAAUGAGGUAGAAAAAAGAGAUCACUCUCAAAGAAAUAAUGUUCUUGCACCAAUCUGAUCUUGAGGCCUUGGAAUCCUCAAAUGAAAUAUGUCAAAGCAAGCACACCAAUCUCAAAAGCAACCACCACAAAACCAAUGAAACAAUAAAGACAAACAAGAAAAUGUAUAAGCAAGGAAAGGUAAUUGCAAAAGGAAUACUAUAUGUAAGACAAACUCAAAGAGUAAGAAUGAAAGACAAUCAAGAAAAUAAAGAACUCAAUGAGAAAAGUAGGCACACAAAAGAAUACUUAAGGAAAAGCACUAGAGUAGAUGAAGAAAACAAAAAAUUAGCUACUGGAAUUUUUUUUUUUAAAUGCAAACUGUGCUUGAUAUUCACUGAUUUAACUGGAAUGAUGUAGAGCGAACUGGAUUAUGAAAUUUAAACCACAGAAACUUCAAGAUGUUAACUCAAUAAUGGCACUGGAGUCAAUUAAAAACAGUAAGCCAAUUGAGAGAAAUAAAUUUUUCAAAAUCGCUGCCAGAUUACCGUAUUUUUUUCGGCAGAAUUGUACACUUUUUUUAUUUUAUUUAUCAUUUUUUGUGUACUUCGUAUUUUUGAAUGAUUCUUUUUUAUAUUCUUUUCUAACACUUUGAAUAUUUCAAAUCCAGAAUUUCAGAAUUUUACAGUAAGUAAAUCAAUUGCAAUAAGGAAAAACAGUAAGCAUUUUUUUUUCAGAAACAGAGGAAUCCUAAUAGGAAUAAAAAAACAGGAUGAUGAACUAGCAAAGACAUAAUAGANNNNNNNNNNNNNNNNNNNNNNNNNNNNNNNNNNNNNNNNNNNNNNNNNNNNNNNNNNNNNNNNNNNNNNNNNNNNNNNNNNNNNNNNNNNNNNNNNNNNUAGCCUAAGGUGACUGAAAAAAUAGGUGGGAAAUUUCAAAUAACUCAUUGAAAUUCCCACAAAAACAGUCACAUGGGAGGUGUGACCUUUUUCUACUAUGACACCUCCCAAAAACUACACCUACACCACUCUCCUAAGUCACAUGGACAAUGUGACUUUAUUUUACAUUUUCACACACCUUUAUUUAAUAACCACACCUCCUAAAACUAUACAAGAGUAUUUCAAAGCUUGGCCUUGCCCCUCAUGGGAUGGACUUGGGCUCUUUGGGCUUUGGCCUUCUUGGGCUUGGGCUUGGGCUUUGGGCUUGGGCCUCAUCUUUAUUUUAUGUCUUCUUUUAAUUUUGAGAAGACUAGAAGGAAGAACUUCAAAUGUGAGGGUGGAUGUCCUCUUCCUCCAUUAAUAAAAGCCUCCUUUAUUUGAUUCUCAUCACCUUUGUUGAAUCUAAAGCUAAUGUGUUUUAAAUCCUUUUUGAAAUAAAGUGUUUUUACAACUAAGUGAAAAACAACCUGUUGUUUUAUCGAAUCAAUUGGUUGUUUUACUCUUAGAAGUUUUUUGAAAAGGUUGAAAACUGUUUAAGUUUGGUUGACUUAACUGCUAAACCAAACAAUCGGUUGUUUCGUGGUUUCAACCGAUUGUUUCUUUGAAAAUCCUAACAGAAUUUUGUUUUGGUGGUUGAAUGUGCUUUAAAUGAUUUCCAACUGAAUACACUCCUUCAUUAAUUGCUUUGACCAAUCUUUGGAAAGUAUAAAUGGUUUGUUUAUGUUUUCAAACAAACGAGAGAAAUAAAUUUGAGUUUUUCAAUUGUGAAAAAGUUGAUUUCAAGAUUUGAACAUUCACAUCAUGGUUUGGGUUUUCUAAGAGAGUGGAAUAGGAUUGCAAUUGUAUUGAUUUCAGAUUAUUCUGUAAACAAGUGUAAUCCCUUCUCAAUAUACUAUAUUUCUGGUAUUGUGUUGCCAAUGAGUGUUGUGUGCUCUUGAGGUGGUCAAGAUCAAUACUCUUGGUGUGUGUUUUUCCAAAGGGAGUGUGUUUCUUGAAGGGUUCAAGGUCACUACUUUGGUGGUUUGUGUGUUGUAAUCUGGUUUGAUUACUUAGUGGAUUACCCAGUGGUUUUCUGGGGACUGGAUGUAGCUCUUAGAUUAAGAGUGAACCCAUAUAAACUGUUGGUGUAUCUCUCUCUUACCCUCAAACUCAUUUAAAUUCUGUUUUAAGUUUUACUGAUAUAAACAACCGAUUGUUUUUCUGUUGCUUUGCUGUUUUAUUGCUUUUGUUCUUGGCUAACCUGAUUCCUGUUCUGGAUUCAUACAAAGAAUUUUGUUAAACUUUAAAAAGAUUUCAAAAACCUCUCUUAAACAAUUCACGCCCCUCUCGUUUAAGGCCAUAUAUUCUAACAAUUGGCAUCAAAAGCUUGGUACUUGAAAAAUAUUCAAGUUUGACCCUAAAACCUUUUUCUAUGGCUGAAAAACUACCUUUUGAGGAGGGUGCUUCAAUUAACAAACCACCUUUGUUUUGUGGUUUGAAUUACAAGUAUUGGAAAGCUAGAAUGAAAAUCUUUGUUGAAUCUAUUGAUCAAGGAAUUUAGGAUGCAAUUGAAAAUGGUCAUUUCAUUCCUAGAAUUGAAAAGGCUGGAUCUUUUACUAGAAAACCUUGGUCCCACUGGACUAAUGAAGAAAGUGAAAAGGCCAAAUUUUUGAUUGCAUUGCCAAGAAUAUCAUAACAUCUGCUGUAAACUCCAAUGAUUUUUCAGUAUUUCGCAUUGUGAAUCAGCUAAAGAAAUGUAGGACACUUUAGAAGUCAUUCAUGAAGGGACAAAUGAAAAUGAAGAGAAAGUGCUUAGCAUGCUGUUUAAGAAACUCAGAAAAUUCUUGAAGAAAAGGAUCAGCAAAAGAAACUCAUCCAAAAGGCUAGACAAAGAAGAGAAGAAAGGAAAAUCAAGAAAAGCUUGCAAUGAUGACUCAUCAAGCAUAUCUUCAAAGUUGAAAAAGCUAAUCUCUAUCUAAUGGCUAAAAAGGAGGAUGAUUCAAGUAGUGAAAGCAGUGUAAGUUGAUGUGAUUCCAAUAGCAAGAUAUAGAUGAUUCUUUGAUAUUUUAUGGAAUCAACUUGAGUUGGAGAUAGCUUAGGCACUUUUAAUAGAAUUGGAUCAAUGUUCUAAGUUUCAAGAACUCACCAAAACUUGCACCAAACACCAAACUCACAUGGAAGACCCAUUUCUUGCCAAUUGAACCGAUUAAAAGAUGUAAAAAUGCAAAUGAACCGAUUAAAUUGCUUAACAAAUGAAAUGAACCGAUUAAAAUGCUUCAAAACUGAAAUGCACCGAACAAAUCCAAGGAGAAAGAAGAUGAACCGAUUGAAACAUGAAAAUAAGCAAUAACACCGAAUAGAAAGCAAGAAAGGAACCUAAGACAUGUUUAGGAAUUCAAAUAGGCACGGAAAUGGAAUGAGAAGAUGGAGAAGAAAGAGGACUUAUGUGGUUGUAGUUCUUGGUUGAUGAACACGCCACUUGAAGUGUGAAUGCUCCAAGAUAAGUGUGCAAUGCCGCCACUUGAGAGAACCAAGGCACUCAAGAUGAGACUAGGAAGAGGAGAAAUCAAAUCUCACUCACUCAAUCACCAAAUUGGGAGAGUUUCUUUACUACAAAUUCCAAAUCUGCAUUAUGAAGGACCUAAGCCCUCCUUUUAUAGGAGCAAGGGCUGGUCAUGAAGCUUACAAAACAAGCUAACCAAAAGUCCCUUGCAUGCUACUCACUUCUAGCACCUAAAGUGAAGCAUGAAGAGUCACCUUCUAGAAAAUUCUAAACUAAUGCCUAAAGAUGCUUUUACAGAAGAGGUAUCUAAGGUUUCCCUCUAAGCACCUUUCCUAAAAACUAUGUAUUUAAACAUUCUAUAUUAUUUACAAAUUUAUAAAAGAAACUAUAAAGAGAGAUAUUUAAAUGAAGCCUAUUCUUGAAAGCUUGUAGACUUCUUUGGCUUUAUGGCUUGAUCCUCUCUUUAUUUUAUGUCUUCUUUUUAAUUUUGAAAAGACUAGAAGGAAGAACUUCAAAUGUGUAGGUGAAUGACCUCUCCCUUCAUUAAUAAAAGCCUCCUUUAUUUGAUUCUCAUCAUAAGUUCUAGUGCCUCCUUAAAUGCUGAAAACUAUAGUCAAUUGCUUCAAGCUUUUAAAGAAACUCAUGAAGAAGUUAACCGAUUGGCUCUCUUGAACAAUUGUUUGAAAGGUAUGAACAAAUGGCUUGAAAACAGAGUCAAAGCACUGGAAGAAGAAUUGCAAAAUUCAAAAACAGAUUUUGGAAACCUUGAAAUGCUCUACAAAAAUUCUUCUUGCAAGUGUGACUCUCUUGUUUGUGAAAAUUGUGAAUCUCUUGAAAAGAAGGUUCACUACCUUGUGAAAACUAUGGAUAAGCUUUCAAAAAGCAAAUCCAACUUUGAGAGUGUCUUAGCAUCUCAAAAUUGUGUUUUUGGAAAAGCUGGAUUGAGUUUUAAUCCAGAAAACAAGUUUUCAAACUCCUUUUCAAAAGUGCCAGAAAAACAACCGAUUGUUAAAUCGAAAAAACCGGUUGUUAUAUGUUUUUACUGCAUGAAGAGAUACCACUUAGUUAGAUUUUGUAAAAUUACGAAAUAUUAUGUUCCUAAAGGCUUUAUGAGAUGGAUUCCCAAAAAUUCUGAAGUUCCCAGUGAUGAAAGUAAUUCAAGAGGACCCACAUUUGUAAGGGGACCAAAUCUUUACACUUGAACUUGAAUUUUGUAGGGAAAAUUGAUGGAAAGCAUGCAACAGUGGUAUCUGGACAGUGGCUGCUCAAAACACAUGACAGGAGAUAAAUCAAGUUUGUGAACAUCAUCUUCAAACAAGAAGGCCAUGUAACAUAUGGAGACAACAACAAAGGAAGAAUUCUUGGAAGAGGCUCUAUAGGAGACAAGAGUAUCUUGCGAAUUCAUGAUGUCUUGUAUGUGGAGGGACUAAAACACAACUUGCUUAGCAUUAGCCAACUGUGUGACAAAGGCUAUCAAGUCAUUUUCAAGACAAACUCUUGUGAAAUCUGUCUGCCCAAAUCAAAAGAGGUAAUGUUGAUUGGUAAGAGAAUCAACAAUGUCUAUCUCUUAGAUAUUUCUUCUCCUUGUUCUAUUGGUUGUCUUCUUUCUAAGCAUGCUGAAUCUUGGUUAUGACAUAGAAGAAUAGCUCACAUUCACAUGAAUCAUUUAAACAAAUUAAUCUCAAAAGAUCUUGUGAUUAGUUUGCCCAAGCUUAAGUUUGAGAAGGACCACAUAUGUGAAGCAUGUCAAAAUGGGAAACAAGUUAAAAAUUCCUUCAAACUUAAAAAUGUUGUUUCAUCUUCAAGACCCCUUGAGUUGCUUCACAUGGAUUUUUUUGGCCCUUCAAGAACCAUGAGUCUUGGUCGCAACUAUUAUGCUUUUGUUAUUGUGGAUGAUUUUUCUAGGUACACAUGGACACUCUUCUUGGAAUCAAAGAGUGAUGCUUUCUCGGCUUUCAAGAAGCUUGCAAGAACCUUGCAAAACACAAGGGACAACAAUAUUGGCUCAAUAAGAAGUGAUCAUGGAGGGGAAUUCCAAAAUGAGAAAUUCAGCAAAUUUUGUGAGAAGACAGGGAUUUUGCACAAUUUUUCUGCACCAAGAACCCGUCAACAUAAUGGCGUAGUAGAAAGAAAGAACAGAUCUCUAGAGGAAUUAGCAAAAACCAUGCUAAGUGAAUCCUCCCUACCCAAGUACUUUUGGGCUGAUGUUGUUAGCACCUUUUGCUAUGUGAUGAAUAUAAUGCUGAUAAGGUCAAUCUUGAAGAAAACACCAUAUGAACUCUUCAAUGGAAGGAAGCCAAACAUUAGUCACCUAAGAGUUUUGGAUGUAGCUGUUUUGUUAUGAAUAAGGGGAAAGAAAAUUUGGGAAAGUUUGAUGAAAAAGCAGACAAUGGCAUUUUCAUUGGAUAUCCAUCAAACAGUCAUGCUUAUAGAGUCUACAACAAGAGGCUCAUGAUUGUAGAAGAAUCUGUUCAUGUGGUAUUUGAUGAAGUUGAUCAAAAAGUCUUAAAUCCCUCAUAGAUCAACACUGAAGGGGAUGAACAAAACAUCAUUAUACAGAAACUGGAUUGUUGUCCAGAAAACAACUGAUUGAUUCAUCGAAACAACCGGUUGAAAUUCUGCAGCUGAAUGAGUUGCCUAAAGAAUGGAGAAUACCAAGGGAUCUGUCAGUGGAGAACAUCAUUGGGCAAAUAAAGGAGGGUGUUUCUACACGUAGCUCUAUCUCAAACUUCUGCAGGCACACUGCUUUUGUCUUUCAAGUUGAACCAAAGUCUAUUGAAGAAGCUCUUAAAGAUGAAAAAUAGAUGGAUGCAAUGCAUGAAGAGCUGAAUCAGUUUGCUAGGAAUGAUGUGUGGUUUCUUGUCUCCAAGACAGAUGAGAUGAACAUCAUUGGAUCUAAAUGGGUAUUCAGAAACAAGCUAGAUGAGGUUGGAGUGAUUACUAGAAACAAGGCAUGGCUAGUUGCCAAAGGCUACAAUCAAGAAGAAGGCAUUGACUAUGGUGAAACCUUUGCUCCUGUUGCAAGAUUGGAAGUGGUGAGGCUGCUGUUGGCCUUUGCUUGUAUGAGUGGAUUCAAACUCUUUAAAAUGGAUGUGAAGAGUGUUGAACCAAGUGUGUUCAAGCUUUGAAGAAUGCAAACCCUUUCAAGGAUGAUAUAAGGCUGGUUGUGCUUGCUGUUGCUGAGCUGUCUUUUAGAUAGGAUCUGGGGUAGAUUUUAUGUAUAAUCCACUCUUGAUUGAAUCCAAAGCAUAAGCACUCUCAAUCCUUUUAAAAGAAAAGUGUUUUUCAAACUAAGUGAAAAACAACCUGUUGUUUUGUCGAAACAACCGAUUGUUUUAUACUAAGGUGUUUUUAGAAAGGUUGAAAACUGUUUUUAUGGUUGACUUGCUGUCAAAACCAAAGCAACCGAUUGAUUCGUGGAAACAAUCGAUUGUUUGUUUUGGUACCAUAACAGAAAACUGUUUUGUGCUUUGAUUGAGCAUUAAAUGAUUUUCUAACUGAUUACGCUCCAGUUUUUAAUGCUUUGACCAAUCUUUAAAUGCAAUGAAUAGUUUGUUAAGAUUUGAUAACAAACAACAACUUUUGAUUAAAUACAGAAAAAAAGAUUUGUGUUUUUCAAGAGAUUGAGAUUUUGAAAAGUUGAGAUUGCUUAGAGAUUGAGUUUGAUCAAAGAGUGUGAGAUAGAAUUUUUCAUCUUGUAUUGAUUUCAGAUUAGUUCUAUAACAAGUGUAAUCCUGUAUACUUUUGAAAGAAACUUUCUGUGUGUUGCUGAGAAGUGUUGUGUGUUCUUGGGGGGAUUAAGAUCAACAUUCUUAGUGUUGUUGUGCUGGACCAAAGGAAGUGUGUGUCUUGAGGGAAUCAAGGUCACUUCUUUGGUUGUAAAUGAUCUAGGGUUGAUUGCUUAAUGGAUUUCCUCAGUGGUUUAUGAGAAGACUGGAUGUAGCUCUGGGUUUAGAGUGAACCAGUAUAAACCUCUGUGUGCAUUCUCUCUAUCCUUAAUCUCUUUAAAUUCAGUUUUGAUAUUUGCAAAUUGGUAUAAACAACCGAUUGUUUCUGCGAAACAACCGAUUGUUUUUCUGGUGCUUUGUGAAAAUCUUUGUGGAAUCACUUGAUAAAGGUAUUUGGGAUGCAAUUGAAAAUGGUCCUUUUGUCCCAAAAUUUGAAAAAGAUGGAUCUUCCAUUGAAAAACCUUGGUCUCAAUGGACUGAUUCUGAAAGCAAGAAGGCCAAAUUUGAUUGCAUUGCUAAAAACAUAAUAACCUCUGCUUUGAAUUCAGAUGAGUUUUUUAGGGUCUCUCAAUGCAAAUCAGCAAAGUAAAUGUGGGACACCUUGGAGGUAACUCAUGAAGGUACAAAUGAGGUGAAGAGAGCUAAGAAGCAUACUCUAAUCCAAGAGUAUGAGAUGUUCAGAAUGCUCAAAGGUGAAACAAUUGCUGAAGUGCAGAAAAGAUUCACGCACAUCAUCAAUCAUCUCAUGAGCCUUGACAAGACCUUUGAAAAGGAAGAGCUAAACAUCAAGAUCUUAAAAUGUCUUGAUAGAGCAUGACAACCUAAGGUAACUGCUAUAUCCGAAUCUAAAGAUCUAACAUCCUUGAGUAUGGCUUCUUUGUUUGGAAAGCUUAGGAAACAUGAGUUAGAGAUGAAUCGACUCAAUGUUCAAGAAAGCAAAGACAAACACGUAAGGAGUAUAACCUUAAAAGCUGUCAAGCACAAAGGCAAACAAGAAUCCAGUGAUGAUAGUGAUGAAGAAAACCUUAGCUUGCUAUCCAUAAAAUUUAGCAAAUUGUUGAAAAGGAAUCACAACAAGGAUUGCCCAAAUAAGGGCACAUAAAGGCAGAUUGCCCAAACAAAAGCAAGGAGAAAAAGCCUAGCUACAAGGAAAAGAAGGGCAAAACAAAAAGAGCCUACAUAGCUUGGGAUGAAAAUGAGGUAUCAUCAUCAAGUUCAUCAUCAAGUGAAGAAGAAAGAGCAAACAUCUGUUUGAUUGCUGAAGAAGAUGAUGAAUCUUGCAGCUCAAGUGAAGUAAGUUCUUGUGCCUUUUUAAAAGAACAAAAUUAUAGUGAAUUGCUUGAAGCUUUUCAAGAAACUCACGAUGAAGCUAAUCGAUUGGUUUUUUCAAACAACCGAUUGAAAGAACUUAACAACUAGCUGGAAAAGAGAGUGAAGCCACUUGAAGAAGAGCUUGAAAAAUCUAAAAAGGAUUUUAAAAACCUUGAAACACAUUUCAAAAAUUCUUCUUGCAAGUGUGACACUCUCAUUUGUGAAAAUUGUGAAAACCUUGAGAAGAAAGUGCAUUAUCUUGUAAGUACUGUGGAUAAGCUUUCAAAAGGAAAAUCUAACUUUGAGAAUGUCUUGGCAUCUCAAAACUGUGUUUUUGGAAGGGCUGGUUUAGGCUUUAAUCCACAAAACAAACAAGAUAAGUUUUCAAAAACUUUUUCAAGAAAGCCAGAAAAACAACCGAUUGUUAAGUCGAAACAACCGGUUGUUACAUGCUUUUACUGCAUGAAAAAGGGCCAUUCGGUUAGAUUCUGCAAAAUAAGGAAAUUUUCUGUUCCCAGGGGCUUCAUGAAGUGGAUUCCUAAAGGAUGUGAGGUUCCAAAUGAUAAAAAGAAAUCAAAUGGACCCACAUUUGUGAAGGGACCAAAUCUUGUGGCUUGAACUCAUGUUUAUGCAGGAAAUCUAAAGAAGUGUGAGGAACUGUGUCAUCUGAUCAAGUUCUUGGAAGAAAAGGACUAACUUUGAAGCUGAAUCAAUGUUCUGCACCUGUCCAAAGGCUCUCAACAGUUAAAUGAGACUUCUUGAUCACAAAGCACAUGACUCAUUGGACAAACAUCAUAAAGGAUAAGACCUUCCUUAUCUAUAUCUUUAAUUUCUGUUUAAAGUUCAGAUUCAUGCUUAAACAUCUCUUUUAAAAUGGUCAAUUUCAUCUGCUUUGAAGUCUUUCUGCUCAUGUUUAAAAAUUUAAAAUCAGUUUUACUACUGUAGAAAAACAACCGAUUGUUUCCUCGAAACAACCGAUUGUUUUGUGUCUGACCGCACUGUGAAGAAAUCAAUUUAAUUUCUAUCCAUUGCAUAUCAAAUUAAAGAAAGAAUCCUUGGUCAAUGAACCUGUGUUGAAAGCUAAUCACGCUAAAAAAGAAGUUACAAUAGUGAUAAAAGAAUAUAUUCCAAAAUCUUGAAAAUUUGAGAGCUUUUAUGACUAGUCAAAGAUCACAUGUGAUGACCAUGUGAUUUUCUGCUUUUUCUGACGUUUUCUGUGCAGGGCUUUCAAGUCCUUUCUCUCUGAAAAUCUGGUACCCACUCAUGUCAUUGAAUGCUUUAUGAUUAUGUUUUUGCUAUAAAAUUUGUUGCAGUUGAUCUCUUUCACAAGAACAAACAAUUGCAACAUCUCUUGCAAUUCUUGUGUGAGCUUUUCUCUGCUUCUUCUCUGCCAUCAUGGAAUCAACUCCUCCCACCUCAAAGAGAGUUAAAACCAAAGCAGUAAGGUCUGGAGGAAGGCUAGAAGGAUGGUUUUCUGGUGAUAAUGAUCUUAUUGAAAGGUAUAGGUUUUAGACUAGCACCAAAGUGAUAAACAACCCCAAAGUUGUUUGCUUUGAUUGGCUGAAAAGCUAAAAGCUAGAUAAUGUAAGAAGGCUGCUCAAAGAUCAAUCUCUCAGAAAGUUCUUGGAGAUGAAGGGGAACAUCUACCCAGAUUUGAUUAGAGUGUUCUACACAAAUCUUAAAUUUGAGGGUAACAACGUUGUCUCUCAUGUGAAAGGUGUAGAUAUGGAGAUCACCUAUGAUGUGUGGAAUGCAGUGGCGGGUCUAAAGUAUUCUGGCCUCAUAAUGAACAAGGGGAACCUUGGUGUAGUGGAGGAUUUCAACAAAGUCCAAUACUACAAAAGCUGUUUGAAGAAUCAAAAUGCUCAAGUUAGGACUUGUUCGGUUGGUGGCUUGAGACUUGAUGAAAGCUUGCUGGCCCUUAUUGUGACUUGGAUUCUAACUCCAAGGGGGAGCAAUCAUUCUGUUCUUACAGAGGAGGACCUUGUGUAUAUCUACUGCAUAAUGAAGAAAAUCAGAAUAAAUUGGAUCCACAUCAUCAAAGAGUACAUGCAAAAGGCAAUGAGGUUAAGUGACUAUCACUAUCCAUAUGCUGUUUUGAUUUCUAAAUUUUUGUUGUAUUUUGAAGUGAAUCUGGAAGAUAAAACAUCUGAGUUGGUGAAAUCAACUCAAGAGAUGAACAAUGGAUCUCUCAGCAAAAUGGGAUUCACCAAAAUAGGUGGCAAAUGGAUAGGCAAAGAUGGUGACCAUGGUGCUUCAUCAAGUGUUGUUGCUAAUCUUGAAGAAGAAGAACAUGCUGCUGAUAUGGAUUUUCAACAUGAAGAUCAUCCUGAAACAAAUCAAGAUGCUGGACCCAGUGCUGGUGCUGGAAAUCAGGAAGAUGGAAUGCCAACCAUGUCUUCUUUUGAGAGAUACAUGGUCAAUAGGCUUGAUGGAUUUGCGAAGAAUCAAAGAAAUCUCCAUGAUCUGUGUGUAAGCAACUUCCAGAGCAUUGAUAACAGGUUUAACAACAUGGAUUCUCGCUUCAUGACGUUAGAUGAAUAAAUUGAAGCUGUCCAAAAUCAUAUUUUUAUCUACAAUAUGCUGAUGAUGAAUGAAGAAGGAAAAACAACGGGUUGAUAUCUCAGAACAACCGAUUGUUUUUAGGGCUUGUAUCAAUUUUUUUUUCUGCUUCUGCUCUUUAAUUCUGUUUUAUCAAGAACUUUUUUCUUUAUAUCUCUUCUUUUUGUCUAUUUGUGAAGACAAAUAGGGGGAGAUUUAUGCUGUGUGUUGUCUCAGUUUUAAAUUUAUGCAAAACAGUUUAUGGUUGUUUAAAGAAAGCCUUGUAAGUUUUUCUAUGCUCUGAUAUACUGUUUCUGUUCAAACCCUAUAUCAGAAGUGCUUUGCUUAAACUGUAUGUUGCAGGAACUGCUUCAGAUUCAAUCAAAUCCAACACAAGCACCAGGGAUUUGUCUUCAUCAAAUAGGGGGAGAUUGUUGAACCAAGUGUGUUCAAGCUUUGAAGAAUCUAAACCCUUUGAAGGAUGAUGAAAGGCUGGUUGUGCUUGUUGUUGUUGAGUUGUCUUUUAGAUAGGAUCUGGGGUAGAUUUUAUGUAUAAUCCACUCUUGAUUGAAUCCAAAGCAUAAACACUCUCAAUCCUUUUAAAAGAAAAGUGUUUUUCAAACUAAGUGAAAAACAACCUGUUGUUUUGUCGAAAAAACCGAUUGUUUUAUACUUAGGUGUUUUCCGAAAGGUUGAAAACUGUUUUUAUGGUUGACUUGCUGUCAAAUCCAAAACAACCGAUUGUUUGUUUUGGUACCAUAAUAGAAAAAUGUUUUGUGCUUUGACUGAGCAUUAAAUGAUUUUCUAACUGUUUACGCUCCAAUUUUUAAUGCUUUGACCAAUCUUUAAAUGCAAUGAAUAGUUUGUUAAGAUUUGAUAACAAACAACAACUUUGAUUAAAUACAGAAAAACAGAUUUGAGUUUUUCAAGAGAUUGAGAUUUUGAAAAGUUAAGAUUGCUUAGAGAUUGAGUUUGAUCAAAGAGUGUGAGAUAGGAUUUUUCAUCUUGUAUUGAUUUCAGAUUAGUUCUAUAACAAGUGUAAUCCUGUAUACUUUUUGAAAGAAACUUUCUGUGUGUUGCUGAGAAGUGUGGUGUGUUCUUGAGGGGAUCAAGAUCAACAAUCUUAGUGUUGUUGUGCUGGGCCAAAGGAAGUGUGCAUCUUAAGGGGAUCAAGGUCACUUCUUUGGUUGUGUUGUAAGUGAUCUAAGGUUGAUUGCUUAGUGGAUUUCCUCAGUGGUUUCUGAGAAGAUUGGAUGUAGCUUUGGGUUUAGAGUGAACCAAUAUAAACCUCUGUGUGCAUUCUCUCUAUCCUUAAUCUCUUUAAAUUCAGUUUUGAUAUUUGCAAACUGGUAUAAACAACCGAUUAUUUAUGCGAAACAACCGAUUGUUUUUCUGGUGCUGUGCUUUUUGCUUUGUGUUUUGGCAAAUUGAUUUCCUUAUCAACUGUUUCUCAAAGUAAUUUCAUUCUAGACUUAUAAGUUUGCGAAAACUUUAAACCAUUCACCCCCUUGAUGUGAUUCCAAUAGCACAAUAUGAAUGAUUCUCGACAUUCUUAGGAAUCAACUUGAGUUGGAUAUGAUGUAGGCACUUUUUUAUAGAAUUGGAUCAAGGUUCUAUGUUCAAGAACUCACCAAGACUAGUACCAAACCCAAACUCACAUGGAAGAUCCAUGUAUUGUCAAAUUGAAUAAAAAACAACAACUAGAAAUGAAGAAGAAGCAAAGAGGAUCGACAAAAGCAAAAGGAACCGAAGCAAAACAGCAAAGGAACUAAAAUACCGAACUGAAAAUGCAAGAACACAAGCUAAGACAUGAACAUAAAAGGAGAAGGAAGGAAGGAGAAGAGGAAGCUCAAGAAGAUGGAGGAAUUGGUUGGAUGAUCACGCCACUUAGAGGAUGGAGACUCCAAGAUGAGUGUGUUAUGCCGCCACUUGAGGUAACCAAGAACUCUCAAGAUAAGACUAAGUGAGGAAGGCACAAAGCUCUCCAAUUCUCUCUCAAAUUGAGUAGAGUUUCAUUAAUACAAAUUUCCAAUCUGAUUUUUACAAAGGCAAGCACCUUUAUUUAUAGCCUACGAAGUGCUGAAAAAUAGGUGGGAAAAUUCAAAUAAAACUCAUUUGAAAUUCCCACCAAAAACAAGUCACAUGGGAGGUGUGACAUUUUUCUACUAUGACACCUCCUAAAAACUACACCUACACCUACUCUCCUAAGUCACAUGGAUAAUGUGACUUUAUUUUACAUUUUCACACUUCUUUAUUUAAUAUCCACACCUCCUAAGAGUAAUUCAAAUGAUGCUCUUUUAUUUAAUGUUUGGCCUUGCCCCUCAUGGGAUGGACUUGGGCUUGUUGGGCUUUGGCCUUCUUGGGCUUGGGCUUUGGGCUUGGGCCUCAUCUUUAUUUUAUGUCUUCUUUUAAUUUUGAGAAGACUAGAAGGAAGAACUUCAAAUGUGAGGGUGGAUGUCCUCUUCCUUCAUUAAUAAAAGCCUCCUUUAUUUGAUUCUCAUCACCCCUCUAGUUUAAAGCCAUACAUUCUAACAAAGAGUGCUUUUCUCAAUGGUUUUAUCAAUGAAGAAGUGUAUGUUGAGCAACCACUGGGUUUUGAGGAUCAUCAACAUCCCAAUCAUGUUUUUAAGUUGAAAAAUGCUUUGUAUGGGCUUAAGCAAGCUCCAAGGCAGUGGUUAAACAAUCAAAGAAUGGAAUUUUCCUAUGUCAAUCAAAGUAUUGCAAAGAAAUCCUCAAGAAAUUUGAGAUGGAGAGUUGCAAGUAAACUAGCACACCUAUGCCUUCAAGCUGUUAUAUGGAUGCAGAUGCUGCUGAAAAAGGGGUAGAUCGAACAAAAUAUAGAGGUUUAAUUGGUUCUUUACUCUAUCUCACAAUAAGUAGAUCGGAUAUCAUGUUUGUCGUAUGUCUUUGUGUAAGAUAUCAAGCAAAUCCAAAGAAAUAUCACUUCAAGGCUGCAAAAAGGAUUAUGAAAUAUCUCAAAGGAACUACCAAUGUUGGUCUAUGGUAUCCUUCUUACUCACCUAUACAUUUAAUUGGAUAUCCAGAUUCUGACUUUGCAGGGUGUAAGCUAGACAGAAAAAGCACAAUUGGCACUUGCCAUCUUCUUGGAUCAAGUCUCAUUUCUUGGCAUAGUAAGAAACAAACUUGUGUAGCUCUUUCCACUGCAGAAGCUGAAUACAUUGCUGUUGGGAGCUGUUGUGCACAAAUUCUUUGGCUUAAACAGCAGCUUGCAGAUUUUUUAUUAAAGAUCAGCAAGGUUCCUUUGCUUUGUGACAACACAAGUGCUAUAAAUCUCACCAAAAAUCAUAUUCAGCACUCAAGAACAAAGCACAUUGAGAUUCGUCAUCACUUCAUAAGAGAUCAUGUGAACAAUGGAGAUUGUGAGAUGAAGUUCAUUGAAACAAAACUACAGUUUGCUGAUAUAUUUACAAAACCUUUGCCAAAAAACAGGUUUUUCUUUUUAAGAAAUGAGUUAGGCAUUAUUGACUCUCAAAAUCUCUCUUAAACUGCUCUCUAUGCAUAAAGUCUAUUUGAGAAGACAAAUAGGGGGAGAUUUGGUUUUUGUGUUUCUCUACAAACUGUUUCAAACUGUUAAAUCUCUUUAAUUUAUGUUUUUAAAGUUGAUUUUUGCUUCUGCUGAUAGAAACAACCGAUUGAAUCGAGGAAACAACCGGUUGUUUGUUUGAUACAGUGUUUGUUUUUGGCUGGUUUUUCUGCUCUAAGGUUUAUGCAGAAAACUAGUUAAUGUGCCAAUCUAACCUGCUCUUAAAGAUGCUCUGGUUUGCAUAAGUUUUGUUUUGCAGGUGCUACUUCAGAUUCAAACAAAGACCAAUACAAGCAACCAGGGAUUUGUCUUCAUGACAUAGAGGAAGAUUGUUGAUCAAGAGUGAUCAAGUGCUUUGAAGAAUCCAAAUCCUAUGUGUUUGAUAAAAGGUUGGUGUUGCUGCUGUGUUUGGGUGGGAUCUGGGUAGUUUAAUUUGUAAUCCACUCCUUUGUUGAAUCUAAAGCUAAUGUGUUUUAAAUCCUUUUUGAAAUAAAGUGUUUUUACAACUAAGUGAAAAACAACCUAUUGUUUUGUCGAAUCAAUCGAUUGUUUUACUCUUAGGAGUUUCUGAAAAGGUUGAAAACNNNNNNNNNNNNNNNNNNNNNNNNNNNNNNNNNNNNNNNNNNNNNNNNNNNNNNNNNNNNNNNNNNNNNNNNNNNNNNNNNNNNNNNNNNNNNNNNNNNNCGGUUGUUUCGUGGUUUCAACCGAUUGUUUCUUUGAAAAUCCUAACAGAAUUUUGUUUUGGUGGUUGAAUGUGCUUUAAAUGAUUUCCAACUGAAUACGCUCCUUCAUUAAUUGCUUUGACCAAUCUUUGGAAAGUAUAAAUUGUUUGUUUAUCUUUUCAAACAAACGAGAGAAAUAAAUUUGAGUUUUUCAGUUGUGAAAAAGUUGAUUUCAAGAUUUGAACAUUCACAUCAUGGUUUGGGUUUUCUAAGAGAGUGGAAUAGGAUUGCAAUUGUAUUGAUUUCAGAUUAUUCUGUAAACAAGUGUAAUCCCUUCUCAAUAUACUGUAUUUCGGGUAUUGUGUUGCCAAGGAGUGUUGUGUGCUCUUGAGGUGGUCAAGAUCAAUACUCUUGGUGUGUGUUUUUCCAAAGGGAGUGUGUUUCUUGAAGGGUUCAAGGUCACUACUUUGGUGGUUUGUGUGUUGUAAUCUGGUUUGAUUACUUAGUGGAUUACCCAGUGGUUUUCUGGGGACUGGAUGUAGCUCUUAGAUUAAGAGUGAACCCGUAUAAACUGUUGGUGUAUCUCUCUCUUACCCUCAAACUCAUUUAAAUUUUGUUUUAAGUUUUACUGGUAUAAACAACUGAUUGUUUCCCAGAAACAAUCGAUUGUUUUUCUAUUGCUUUGCUGUUUUAUUGCUUUUGUUCUUGGCUAACCUGAUUUCUAUUCUGGAUACAAAGAAUUUUGUUAAACUUUAAAAAUAUUUCAUAAACCUCUUUUAAACAAUUCACCCCUCUCUCGUUUAAGGUCAUAUAUUCUAACAGCAACUUCCAAUUGGAGGUCAGAAAUUCUAAACAAGUCCCCUUGUGAAAACCUAAUUUUCAAAUCAUUCCAAAUAUCCAAAGUGAAGUCCAUCCAAAUAAUGCUCUGUCUAAUAGGAGUGGAGACAGAAUGGACUAACCAUGAUACCACCAUAUUAUUGCAUCUCUUCCAAGCCGAGUAUGUUGGGUGAUUUUCAUCUGGACAGGGAUGCGAAGCUUGGAUGAAUUUCGCCUUGUUCUUCGCACUCAUGGCCGUCAUCACUGACCUACUCCAAGAGUGAUAGUUGGUGGAGUCCAGCAUCGGCGAGACCAACGACGCAGCUGGGUUUUCGUUGGGGUGCAGAUAGAGGUAGCUAGCUGGUUGAUUUGAUUGGCUAGAUGGAACCUGUUGCAUUGCGAAUUCUUCGGCCAUUACUGAAAAAAGAAAGGGAGAAACCCAAGAUUAGUUUCAAGAGAUUUAAACGAAAAGGAUCAAGAUGCAGAGUGCGCAGCAGAGCUCUUCAAGAGAAGAGCUCUGAUACCAUAACACAGUAGCCACUUUUAAGCUAUCUAACAAAGCAGAAGCGGUGCCCCUAGAUGAACGCAAAAUGAUCUGUGAUAGAGAAGCGUGAACCGACAAAGACACAUAAUUGACAUAGACACAACUUUGGAGAAGAAAGUAAAAAACUAAGAAAAUUGUAUUACGUGUGUCUUUGAUUACAAGGUAAAGAAGAUUUAAAGAAAAGCUCUUGCUAAUAGAGUUGGGUCUAAGGAGUACAAUAAACAAAACCUAAUGGGCCUAUAAAAAAAAAAAACUGUUAUAACAAAAAUUAAACAAAAACUGUUUUAUUAAAUAACAUAAACUAAUACUGUUAUCAGAAUUAAAGAACCAAUAAUUCUUAAAGUAUUAUUAAAACAUGUUGGUAAAGAACCAAUAAUCAAUCAUUCAUCAGGAACUUUAUUUUGUCUUCAACCUUCUCAUGCACAAGAUUUAUUGUUCCUUCAACAUGAAUCGUAUUCUCUCAUGUAGCUCUGGUUGAUUGUUUGGGAGAGAAGGGAAGAAACAACAACAAACAAAAUGUACAAGUGUGUGUGCACACGGAUCCUGUUUCUGAGGUGAGGAAAAACAUUGUGUAUAUAUAUAUGUAAGCAAACAAACAAACAUUUUGUUAUUACUAUUUUUUAUUUUCAGGUACUAUGUACAUUUUUAAAUUUUUAGAAUAAUAAAAAAUAAAAGAAACUUAAAUAUUUCUUAAAGUUUUAUACUUUUGUUAAAUUACAUAAUAAAUAUAUUUUAUCGCUAAAAUAUAAUAUCUUAUUUUUUAAACUCCCGUUUUUUAUUAUUUUUAGCACUUUAAAAUUUUCUUACUAUUUAUUAUUAUUAUUUUAAGUUAAUUAUAUUCUAAUUAUUAAUAUUUUAAAAUUAAUUAGGCAAAAUUGUGUGGAGAAAGAUGUUACUGGUUUGAGUAAUGAUUAUAAAUUUAUUAAUUACCCAGAAAAAAUGACGGUGUUUAAAAAAAGAUGUUAUUGGUUUGAGUAACAAUGAUAUGGUUUCUUUAUGAAAAAAGAUGGAUUCAAAAAAAUAUAAGUUCAUGUUCAUGUGAUCUUAUUUCUGAGAAAAGAAAGAUGGAACAUGUUACGAAGUGGACUUUGAGCCUAACUCAACCCCAUAAAACCGGCUCAUAGGGUUGAGGUUUGCACCCACUUAUAUACAAUGAAAUGCUCUAAUCUCUAGUCGAUGUGGGAUCUCCAACACAUGGACAUUGUAUUAGCAGAAUUUAUGAUCUGCUUGUUCAUAAUUAUUGUAUAUUGUAUAUAUUUUUAUAGAAAAUAAAUUGAAAAAGUGGAUUCAAUCAAGUUCUGGUCAAAGAAGUAGAUAAAAGGAAAACAACUUUCAAUAUUAAAUUUGGAGUGGAUUAGUCUUAGUCAUGUCUUUUGGAGUUUUGGUAUACUCUUGCAUCAUGUACUUAGGCUAUUUAUAGUCUCUUUUAGUAUACUUGGAUGGUAUCUUCGUAUAUAGCGUGAAUAUGAAUGAUUACGUACAUCAUACAUUAUCACAUAUAAUAAAGAAAAAAAACAUAUUUGUAUGAAUGAUAUUGUCUGUUAUUGAAUUUGUCAGCUAUUCGUAGUCUAAUCCUCUAUUAAUAAUAAUAAAUGAAUGUCUACUUGUGCUACUUCUAAAAGAAAGAUCUAAACUUUAAAAACGGGAUAAUAUUACUUAAAGAUUAAGAAUACAAUAAAAAUUUAACUAAGAACUAUAAAAUACAUAUUUCACUAUGGGGACAUUUAAACUUUGAACUAGAAUAUUGACACCCACCAUGAGAGUAGGUAAAACUUUUCCUACUCCCACGGGUGCAGAAAGGUAAAACAACGACGACUAUUCGCAUUUGAUGUACAUGUAGUCUUAAAUCGAAGAGAUAAGAAAUUCGUAAAUUCGAUUUAUAAAUGCAACUAUUUACAUAGCCGCAUUUAUAAAUCGCAUUAACGAGUGGCGUUUAAGGUUUCUUUUCUUUUUCGCAGUUGUUUGGGUUUCUAAUCAAAAAUUCUCAACUUUGAUCUUUUCUGAAGAACAUGGUCAUUAUUUUAGCAUUUAUUUUGAUCUCUUGGUGCAUUCAUAUCAUAUCUCUUCACAUUCUUACUAUUUCAUCCCAUUGAAAGUCCAGAAAACGCAAACAAAAAUUUCCCAAUGAAACGCAAAUAUACAAUGUUGCAAGGAAACAACGACGAGGAAGACACAAUAGAAAACAAACAAAAACCUUCCCAAUGAAAUAGUGACGUUAGCAAUGACAUAAGACAAAACAUAAGAGAAAUGGAAAACAUACAAAAAUCAAUGGUGAAGAAGAAAAGAGGAAGACAAUGCUUACCAAUGGCACAACGACAAUGCAAAGAAGGGAAGAAGAAAAGAGGAAGCACAAUUAAUGGGAGGAAGCACAUAAGAGAAACGAAGCGUGUGAGAAAGGAGAGUAUGAAAACGUAAGUGACGCACUUUUGAAUUAGGAUAAAAAAGAUUUUAAGAAGGCGGUUAGUUGUAAUAGCCGCAUUCUUAAAUCAAGUUAAUUUAAAAAAUGCCACCGCAUUUUGAAAGACAACAUCUGAUCGUAAAAACACAUUAAAUAAUGAAUUGUUUUAAACUUUUGUACUAGUGCCCUAUAUAAUAAUAUAUACAUUUUUUGAGAAAUAAUUGCAACAUCAUAAGCAAUUAGAGACAACAAGUUCAACCUGGAGACAAUGGCAAUGUUGCUAUCAAAUUUUGGACACUAUACACUAAAAUGUAGAGGCCAAACACAAAGUAGGAAGAAGCCCAGGACAAGAAUGACCGUAGGAAGAAGUCCAUCUUGAGCAAGAGUGGUAAAGAGAAGAGGAUCGCGUCGAGCAUGAGCAGUUGCAUGAAUAAGAGAAGAUGUCAUGCCAUUUAAUAGAGAAAGUCAUGCGAGCACAUGAGUAGUUACAAAAGGGAAAAGAAGAACUGCAACAUACCAUGAGUUGACAAAGGUCAGCCAGACAGCUGUCAAUUGAAGGUAGUGGGGUAAGGAUGGCAGGUACAUGCUCAAGCAGAUCCACAACCCUUCUCCAGGGCGAUCAUGGAAGAACAUGUACCCCCUCACUACAUGGUGCCCAAGAUCACACUAUUUCCAGGAUCAGGAGAUUUAGAGAGGCACUUAAAAGCUGCUUUCCAAGUGCAAAUGCUAAUAUCAGGUGGCUCAAAUGUUGUACGAUGCAAAUGUUGUACGGGCACCACACUCCAAUGGUUUAGUGGAAUUCCUGAUGGAGUCAUAAACUCUUUCUAGACUUUUUCCCGAAUGUUUGUGGAGAGGUUCAUGACCAAUAAAGUCAAACCUCCAUGAAUUAUCGAUCUCUUUGACACUAAGCAGCAGGAAGGCAACCUUUAAAGAGUUACCUUAAUCGCUUUGACGAGAUCUCGGUUCGCAUACAUCAACCCAAUGAAGAUGGCAAACCUCUAAAGAGUUACCUUAAUCGCUUUUGCAACAUCUUGAUUCGCACACAUCAGCCUAAUGAAGAGAAUGUGGGCUAACCUCUUCAGUGAGUACCUUAUUCGGAACAAGGGCGAUUCUAUGGUUGAAAUUUGACGAGGAAGUAAUCUUAACUUGAGGUUGGAGGUUGUGUACUGGUAGUUAGUCUAAUCUCCUAUUAGUAAGGAAUUUAACUUAUCCUUAUUAAUCAUUAAUAGAAAGAUUUAAUAAAAUCAUCCAAAAUUUUAGCCAAAAAUAAAUAGAAAUAUGCUUCAGAUACUUGAAAUCAUUUAAAAAGAUAUAAACUUUAAAAAUUAUAUAAUAUUAGUUAGGAUUUAGAAAAUAACAAACAACUCCAAAGGAGCUCAAUUAGAUGAAAAAUAUGUUUAAAGAUUAUUAUAGAUUGAUUAAUCCCAACAAUGUAAGCGAGGUAAAAAAUUUUAUGGGUUAAUUAGUUUAUAUAAAAUAUUUGUCUAAGAUUUUAGCACGAUAACCUCACCUUUGAAUGAAAUAAUUAAAUAAAAUAUUAUUUUUCAAUAAGGUGAAAUCUAAGAAAUUGUUUUUAAGAACAUUAAUUAAAGGAACAUUUUAUUAAUGCACCUAUUCUUGUUGUUUAAAUUUUUCAAAAUCCUUUGAAAUAGAGUUUGAUGUUUCAAAUGUGAAAAGCCAAUGUUACUUUAAAAGGGACAUUCCAUUGUUAACUUUAGUAAAAAGUUAAAGAGAAAUCAAAAUAGUUUUUUCACUUAAGAUAAGUGACUUUAUGUCCUUGUUUGUCUUUGCAAACUAUGCAAGAUUACCUUCUUAAAGAAUUUGUGAUACACAAUGAUAAAUCCUACAAUUUCUUACUCACUUUUUAGGAUUUCUUUAACCCUUUAACUCAUUUGAUUUGUUACCUCUUCCUACUAAUGAAGCAAUGGCAUGUAGUGAUGGAACUUACAAAAUGAAAAUUGUUAAAGACUUACACAUCCAAGUAAAGAAAUACAUAAAGAGAGGAAGAUAACUUAAUAUGCAAAGUCUGUCAAAAAAAGAGAAGAAAAAAAGUGUUAUGAUUUUUUUUCCUAAUAAGCUAAAUUCCUUACAAAGGUAGUUGAUCCUGCCGGUUGACCAAGCGCAAGAACGAUGCCUCGUCACGAACUUUCCUCACCAGCUUUAACACCACGUGCGCUUCAAGUCCACACUACAAAUUGUCUCUCUGAAAACCUGAAAACAUAGUAUGGCGCCUCUGCAGCCGGUGGCGCUCCGACGCUCAAGUCAGUAACAGGAACACCCCAAAAACUGAGAAAAAACUAGGUGCUGUGGAACCGUGCUCAAGUGUUCUCAAUAAUAAAAAAGAGUUGUAUUGAACGUACCUCCAAAUUCUGUUAAGUUUACCUUUUAUACCUAGGUAUUUUCUCUCUCCAGAUAGUUACACUUUGGACGCGUGGACCGCAUCCAACUCUACACGCGUCAUCAUCUGGGCUGGGGUAACUUAAGCGUCGUUUCUAUGUAGCAUCCAACUCUACACGUGUCAUCAUCUGGGCUGGGGUAACUUAAGUGUCAUUUCUAUGUAGCAUCCAACUCUACACGUGUCAUCAUCUGGGCUGGGGUAACUUAAGCGUCAUUUCUAUGUAGCAUCCCGUCACGCGGCCAAGUCUUUUAUUCAAGGUGUAACCUAGCACAUAACACACUCUGGAACGCCACCCGACAAAGCGAGUAUCGGAUGCAACAAAGUACAUCAUCUCUGUGAUAUCGCUUGUCGCAGGUGCCACCUUCCUCGCUGCCACGCCAUGCAUGUUCUAGCUAAGGAAACCUCGCCAUCGACGAAUGUCCACUCUGGGAAUCCCGUCAUCGAUGAGCAAGUUGUUUCCUCCAACUCACUUAACCUCCAUGCUUCAUGCUGACGUAAUAAUCAUCUUUACUGAACUUACACGCCUGAACUUACUUGCCUGAACCUCCAACAACUUCAACUAAGUUUACUGGGAAAUCCGGCGAUGUGCCUCUUGCGGCGAUUCCUGACCACCUGAUCUUCCAUUAUCUAACACGGCGAUGAUACGAAAACCUGGCGACAACCGACUAUGUACACUGAAGAACGCCACUUCCACAAACGGCGACUGUAUUAACUUCUUGACCACUCAUCUUUCUCUUGUCCACGUGUCCCGCCAAGCACGCCCCACGUAGUCACUUACUGUCCACGUCAUCACACCCGAUGACCUGAUCGGUACAGUAGUGGUUCCUUUCAAGUUUUAGAAAGAAUAAAUUUUGAUGUGUCUAGGUUAAAUCUUUCUAGUGAUUAUUGUGAGUUAUAGUUUCAGUGUUAGUGAAUUAUCUUCCUUUGAUAUAAAACUCGCUCAUGAACAAUUUUUUUCCAUGUGACUAAUUAUUAGGAGAUUAAUAAUAAAUUUUUCCUAAUAAAUAUUGAUGUUUCUUUUGGUGUUUGUAAUAUAGUGUCUUCAUAAGUUUUGUUUUUUAACCAUUGAAUUUCAUGAAUUAGAUUGAAUAUGAACCAUUAUCAACAAAUUUUUCAACAACCACCAUCUCGAUACAAUUCUAAAACAUCAAGAAUUGUUAUCCUUUAAUGUUUUUUACACAAGUACUAUAAUACAAUAAAUAUUACAUUAAUAAAACUAGUGAUAAUAAUUACUAUAACAUGACAACAAGUAUAACCACCAUCAAUAUUAUGGAAAGAAAAUGUGUUUAAUAUGUUGUGAUCAGAAAAUUAAGGUAAAGACAAUCAUAACCUACUUAAUCAUUAUGAAAAACAUAACAAUAUACUUAAAAACUAACUUGUUAAGUUUCCAUAAUUUUUUUUAAAAUUAUUAGAAAACAUGGUGUACUAUAUUUUAAGUUUACCAAAGUUCAUUUAUUUCUUUUAAUUUUAAAACAUAUAUAUGUUAAAAACUAAAUAAAUAAAUAAAAACUAGUCACAAUUUAAUAAUUAAAAAUUAAUUUGAUUGGAAUUAAAAGAAAAUACAAACAUGUUGCUCAAAAUUAUACUUAAAUUGAAAUCUUUGUUACAUUUUUUUUAAUAAAAAUAAACUUAAAUAAUUUAAUCAUAUUGAUAAAUAUAACUAGUUGAUUUCCUUUAAAACAAUAUUAUUAUAAUGAAUUGUAUUUCUAAAUACAAGUAAUUCAUUUUAUUAUUUUUUUAAAACUACUAUUUUUUGUAAAUAAUUUAAGUUUUUUAUUUUAAAAAAACUCAUUCUAGUGAACAUAUGAAACAUAACAUAAAUAAGAAAAUAAAGAGGGAGGACCAAAACAAAACCCGAGUAAGAAAACCUAAACAUGAAAUAAAAGAAAUUGGUAUCUGUUAUGGAGAAAAUUCAAACUAAGACAAGGAAGCAUAACAAAGUAUAAGAAAAACUCUAACUUAUUAUCAACACCCAAAUUAGCCAAUUUAUCAACACAAUUAUUGUCUUCCCUAAAAGUAUGAGAAACUUUGAAGUUUAUGCCAACACAUAGUUCCAUACACCUUCUCCAUCUUCCCCUAAUGGAUUGACUCAUCUCAUAUUGGCAUGUCCCGCAUUUGGCCUGCUCCACAAAAGUGACACGAGCUGAAUUUGUUGGCCAGCCCUGCAUAAGUGUUGACCUGCAUAAGAAAAAUUUAUAUUUUUUUAUUAUGAUGUUUCUUACUACACCCCAUCAAAUUUCUUCUUGCAUCUCAUUAAUUUCUGAAUUUAAAACAAUAAACAACAAACAACAACAUUUAACAAAAUUCAAUAUUAAAAAAUUCAAUUCAAUCCUAGAUAUUGAGAAAUUCCACAAAUGGAAACGAACAAAAACUAUAGGAGUGAAGAAAAGGAGCCCAAAACCGAAGAAAACUAACAGGAGACAACACUCAACCUUAAAAAAAUUUAGAAUGGAGUCAAAUCGAUUCUGCAUGAAAUAUAAGUCACAAAAGAAUCGAUUUUGCAUAAAAAACAUGUGGGCUUUCCAUCCAAUAUAGUGCAACAAAAUUGAUUGUCAACUGAAAAAAUGCAUGAAAUUGAUUUUUUUAAGUGUAGUAUAGGCAUGCAAAUUGAUUUUGAAGAAUGUAACUCACCUCCAACCACAAAUCCUUGUUUUCUUUGAUGCUUAAGCAUAGAAAUCUCUCAGCGAAACCACUGUACACACUCAUUGGACAAGGAACAAAGCUCUAACAUGACCCUCGCUGGACAAGGAACAAAGCUAUGAAAGAAGCUCUCUGCUGGGCAAGGAAGAAGUUCACACAACAACGACACAAUGACAAAUGAUUUCAAAUGGUGCACCACACAUUCAUGAUUUUUUGAAGAAAUUUUUUUAAAAGUUGUCAAAGAUUCCGGAAUGUGGUCAGUGUUCAAUGAUUCAGUUCACAUGCUUGCACAAUGUUAAGGGGGUAGUUAGGUAAAAUACCGAAAAUCUACGUGGCUACCCCUUCUUUUUCUGCUCAUGAGAGAAGAUGGAAAUUAAGCACCCCUCACACACUCGUCUUCACAUUUUCCUCCUAACUCACUUAAAAAACAUGAUAAAUCUGUGCACUUCUUUUCGCGAAAGCAGUAGAUACACCAGUACAAAAUAUCAUUACCACGACCCUAUACAAAGACAGUUAACACAAAACAAUCGUUAAAAAAAGAUCAGUUACAUUUUCAUAAUUAUUCAACCUUUUUAACGAUGAUUCUAGGACCAACUGUCAUUAAAAGUGACUCUAGGUGGAAAACAUUGAUGGUUCUGUCCAAGAACUGUCGUUAAAUGUGCUAACAAUCGAUAAUAAUGAAGGUUCACUCCCCAACUUUCGUUAAAAUCCUUGUUUAUUUCCCCCCGCGCCCUCACCUCACACUUCACUCUCACGCCCUCUCUCAUUCUAGUAUCUCUUUCUCUUUCACUCUCACGCUCUCUCAUUUUACUCUUGCAACUUCAUCGCCACUCCCUUCUUGCGCUAGAAUAAAUCACAUCGCACCACCUCUGCGCCUUGUCCGCAACUACAUCGCACCUGCACCGUUAUCUUCCCUACACUGCGCCCCAGCACCUUUGCAGCAUCCCCGGACAAUGUCAAUGACCUUGCAUCCUCCUCCCUCUCACAUUACCACUUUUCAAGUUAGUGUGUUAUUUAGAAUUUAAUAUUUUAUUAAAUGUGUUUAUGUAUUUAUUGUACGUGUUGAUUUUUAGUUUGGAGGUAUCCAACCUUUGACAAUGUUGAUUUAGUUUUUAAUGAAUUAGAUAGUAUUUAUAUAUUGAACACGUUUAUUCUAAGUCUGGAGGUGUCCGACCUUCGACAAUUUUGAUUUAGUUUUAUAAUGAAUUAGAUAAUAUUUAUAUAUAUAUAUAUAACGCGUUCAUGCUGAAUCUGGGAGUCUUCGACCUUCGAAAUUUUUUAUUUAAUUUUAUAUAAUGAAUUAGAUAGUAUUUAUAUGUAUUAAACGUGUUAAUGCUGAGUCUACGGGUGUCCGACCUUCGACAAUUUUGAUUUAUAUUUUCUUAGUUUACCAGUUCUAUAAAUCAAAGUUGGAUUAAUACACCACAUAUAACUGAUGUUUACGAAAGAGGGGAGGAAAAAUUCAUACAGUUUGCACAACAUAAUGUCUUUAGUAAUCAUAAUGGAGUAAGAAUAAGGUGUCUUUGUGUGAAUUGUUUUUACGACAGGAUUUUGAGUAUUUUCGAAAUUAGAGAACAUCUUUUGUGUUAUGGAUUUUUGAAAAAUUAUACAGCAUGGACGUGGCAUGGUGAAUUGUUAGACUUGCCAAGUGUCCGUAGAGCUUCAGAGUGUGUUGAUUUCUCAAUGGAUGAUAGAUUAGAGAACAUGAUUCGUGAUGUAGGAGCAGAAUCUUUUGUUGAAGCAGUUUUCAAAAAUAUGUCUAAUGAUGUAGAGACUCCUUUGUAUCUUGGUUCAACUAACUUCACACGAUUAUCAACAGUGUUAAGAUUGAUGAAUUUGAAAGCAAUGAAUGGAUGGACCGAUAAAAGCUUUACAGAAUUGCUUUAAUUGCUGAAGGACAUGCUUCCAAAAAAAAAUGCAUUACCCAAUCGAAAUUACGAGGCAAAAAGAAUAUACUUUUUCCGAAAGGUUUUAUAUAGAAAUGAGUAUGAAGAUUUAAGAAGAUGUCCCAAGUGUGGUUUGUCACAUUAUAAGGUUAAAGUUGGUCAAAAUGAUGAAAUUGAUGAAGUCACAAAGGAAGGUCCUCCUGCUAAGGUCGUUUGGUAUCUUCUAAUAAUUCCAAGGCUUAAGCAUUUGUUUACAAAUACAGAUGAUGCUAAAAACCUUAGGUGGCAUGUAGAUAAUAGAAAUGUGAUGAACUACUUCAUCAUCCAACUGAUUCUUUAUAGUGGAAAAAUAUUAAUAAAGAAUUUCCUGAAUUUGGAAAAGAAUCAAGAAACUUAAGACUUGGAUUGGCAAUUGAUGGAAUGAAUCCUUUUUAGAAAUUUAAGUAGUAAUCAUAGUUCAUGGCCUAUUUUGUUAGUGAUUUACAACUUACCUCCUACUUUGUGUAUGAAGUGCAAAUACAUGAUGUUAUCUAUGAUGAUCUCUAGUCCAAAACAACCUGGCAAUGACAUAGAUGUUUAUCUUAAUCCAUUGAUUCAAGAUUUGAAAUUAUUGUGGGAUGAAGGGGUUGAUGUGUUUGAUGCAUUUAAGAAUGAAUCUUUCUAAUUACAUGCAAUCUUAUACUGUGAAAGGUCAUAAAGCAUAUCCAAUAUCUGAAGAGAAGACAUCAUAUGAGUAGUUAAAACAUGGAAGGAAAAUUGUGUAUCUUCGGCAUUGUAGAUUUCUAACGAAAUACCACCCGUAUCAUAGAUUGAAAAAAGCUUUCAACGGAUACCAAGAACAUGACAUUUGUCCCACUCCAUUAAGUGGCCUUCAAAUUUAUGAAAAGGUAAAAAAUGUUAAUGUGACUUUUGGAAAAAUGAAGAAGAAGAAAAUUGUGACUGAAAUAUGGAAGAAGAGAUCAAUCUUUUUUUAUCUUUCGUAUUGGUGUAAGUUAGAUGUGAGACAUUGUAUAGAUGUAAUGCACAUAGAAAAUAAUAUGUGUGACAGCUUAAUCAGAACACUUAUGAACAUUAAAGGAAAAAUGAAGGAUGGUGUGAAUGAACGUUUGGAUUUGAUUGAAAUGAAUAUACGAGAGGAAUUGGCACUGCGAGAAGUUGGUAAACGUACAUACUUGCAUGCAACGUGUUACACUUUGUUGAAGAAAGAGAAAACAAGUUUUUGUGAAUGUCUUAAAGGUGUUAAGGUACCACAAGGCUACUCUUCAAAUGUUAAGAGUCUUGUAUCUAUGAAUGAUUUGAAACUAAUUGGCUUAAAGUCUCAUGAUUUUCACGUUCUAAUGCAACAAUUAUUAUCGGUGGCUAUUCGUGGAAUCUUGCAAAAAAUGUUAGGCAUACAAUCACUCGACUAUGUUCAUUUUUCAAUUCGAUAUGUAGUAAGGAGAUUGACCCUCAAAAGUUGGAUGAACUUGAAGAAAAAUAAUUAUCUUGUGUCAACUCGAGAUGUUUUUUCCUCCAUCAUUUUUUAAUAUCAUGGUACAUUUAGUUGUUCAUCUUCUAAGAAAAAUCAGAUGGAUGUAUCUAGUUGAACGAUCAGCCUUGGAUGCCGCCACUGUCUGCUGGAGAGUGUGGACAGUCUCCAUGAGUUGCUGCAUGGUGAUGUUGUGACCUCCUUCCUGUCCAGAUGGACCUUGUCUCAUAUUCCUCAUAUCGCCUGGUAGCUUUGAUCACAACUGUGGAUGGGACCUAGUUUUAUCGGACCCCACGUGGGCGCCAAAUGUUCUUGCCGGUUGACCUGGUCGCCAGUUGACUCUGGGAACAGGUUGUGACUCCGUUUUCCUCUGCUGGAAUUUGCUUUUUCCUUGGAAUGUUGGAACGCGACUUCGUUUGAAAAAGACGGGGCCCUACCUGUUGAUUGCACUUCGACGAUCAAGUCAGUACUGGGCUAAGAAGUAAUGAGAAAGUAAGCAAGUAGUUUCAGUCUUAGAAACGAUGUACCUUUACUAGGGAUCUCAAGUCCCUUUUAUAGACUACUUUUAGGCUACUUCUUGUAACAACCCUUCUCUCACGAGAACCUUAUCUCAAGUGAAAGUAGGUUUCAUGGGAGGAGAGUCUGUUGAGUCUGUUACAAUGUGCACAAUCUUAGUAAAACAACCACCCAAAAUCUCCCUCCUUGGAGUGCAUAAUCUUAACAGCAUGGCCCUAGGGUACCAACUCAUGUACCAACAUCAUGGAGCCCAUCUGUUUAAUGUAGGCGUACUAGCCUUCACGUAUCAUGCAUGCGGCUUAUUUCUAAAAGCCCUAGCGCACUUGGGCCUAGGCGUCUUUGGGGAAUAUUUACUUGUGCUAGACCCGAAUGUACUAUACACACCACAUGCACUUUUUCAAUGAUCAGGCCUUACAUAUAUAUGAAUUUCAACAAAAGCAUUCUUGGGGCCCACUUACGUGGCCCAUUAACUUGACCAGACCAUCGAGCUGACCUGCUUCACACAGGUGUUGAUGUCCAAUCACGUGGGCGCUGAGCCUAACGCUUUGGUCCAGUACAGGUUGUACAAGCACAUUUGUAUAUCCUGAAUAAUACUGAUGAGGUAUUACCAUACUUAGAUACACACAAAGACAUUGUGAAAUAUAAGAAUCCAAGGUAAUUAUAAAAAUGGGUGUUAGUCGAGCAUAACAAAAAUUUCAUGUCAUGAGUUAAGCAACAAAUCAUGAAUGAUCCAUCAACAUCUGAAACAUUGAUAUGGCUUGCAAAUGGUCUAAAGUUUGAUGUUUUAUGUUGUUCUGGCUAUGAAGUAAAUGGUUGUUUUUCUUACACAAAGUCUCGAGAUGAUAAGAGUACAAUGCAAAAUAGUGGAAUCACUUUGGAGGUAGAGUCCAUGCAAUUUUCAACUUCAAAAGAUCAAAAUUCCGUUGUGGGAUCAAUCCUUUAUUAUGGUGUCAUAGUAGAAAUUUGGGAAGUUAAUCAUACCAAGUUUGUGAUACCUGUUUUCAAAUGCAAGUGGGUUGAAAAUAAGACUGAUGUCAAAGUUGAUGAAUCAGAAAUGACUUUGGUUGACUUUCGAAAGAUAGGUUAUCAUGACAAACCAUUCAUAAUGACAUAUCAAGCUUCCCAAGUUUUUUAUAUCCAAGACCUUAUGUCUGAAAACUAGUUUGUUGUGCUACAUGGAAAAAAUAACAUACUGACCUAAAAGAUGAAGAACUAAAUAAUGACAUUUUAUGAGAUUGAAUCACUUAAAGGAACGACGAUUAAUAGAGAGUACAAGGAUGUUGCUGAUGUUGUACAUGCAACUCAAAAUGAUCAUGACGAAGAAAUAUAUAUUUGUAUGUACACGUGUUUCAAGUUUAGUUUUAAAUUAUAUAAUUUUUAUUAUGUUUCAAAUUCUUAAUGCUUAUCAUAUUUGUUUGACAAUAAGAACAUGACUGAUGAUGAAGUUCCUCGUUCAAGAACUUGUAGAGGACGUACUAGAUUAAAAACUAUGUGUAUUAAGAUAAAUAAAGGUAAAAAAGUACCAUUGACUAUUGAUGUCAACAUUGGUGUCGCCAGUGGGCCAAAUUCACAUAAUUUUAGCAGUUAUCUCGGAGUGGUUGCUAGCGAAAGGAUCUCUAUCUUAAUUCCUUCUUGGGAUAACGUCACCGAGCACGAGAGAAACAUGAUUUGGUAGGAUAUUCUGGUAUGUAACUAUUUUUACUUUUUUCAAUCUGAAGUUUGUUUCACUUUGUUCAAUCUGAAGUUUGUUUAUGUUUUUUAUGAACUAAUCAUCCCAAGUAUGGAAUGUAGACGCAUUAUGAUAUCCCAUGUGUAAAAGUUGAGAACGAAGGUUCUAUCUUCAGUGGGUGUUAAGUUUUGUCAGUUUAAAUCAAAAUUGAGAACAACUUAUAUAUAUGGUGCAAGGAAAGGAUAAAAUCCUUGUACAAAAUACAUAUUCCUUGAUGAAGAAACUUGGUAGCAAUUUGUACAGAUUAAACAAACUGAGAAAUGGUAGGUUAAUAUCACCUGUUUUAUUUAGAUGUAGUUUUUAUAUUAACGUUUUAUUAAAUUUUGAAUGUUGAUGAUAGGAUGUUCAGAAGAAAGCACAAUCCUAUCAAGCGCGUAAUGAGACCCCACACUUAUUGUCCCAUGGUAGUUUUAAGAAGUUAGAGCAGAAGUUAAUUCAACAAAAGAUUAAAGCACGUUCUGCUUCUACUAAGGAAGGGAAUUUAGAUUCUUUGAACCCUCCAUCCCCACCAUCCCAACAUGAGAAAUGGAAGAAUGCCCGUCUAAAGCAAUCAGGGACAUGGACUUCUAAGGAAUCACAACGAACAACUGAAUGAAUUAUAAGAAAGAUGUUUUGUAUGUGUUAUUUUAAAUUUAAUACGUGUGUUGAAGUUUGACAAUUUGUUUUCAUUUGUUGUAGGAUUCUCUUGUUGAGCAAACAACAAAGCGGAUUUUAAUCUUUAUGGUUGCGAGGAUAUUCUUAUUAUUGCUAUCGGACGACCUGAGCACCCUAGACGUGUUCGUGUUGCUAGAUAUGGGGUGGGGAUCGCUCAUACUUUGGGCCCUCAUCACAAUGCAAGGAACAUUCGUUCAAUGAAUCUAGCCAGGAGUAUUUGCUACAAUAUAGAAACAGAUAAAGGUUAAGGUUACUCAAGAGAUUAAAGAAAGCUUAAUGGAAGGGUUUAAUAAGUGGAUGGAUAGGGAGUUUGUAAAGCAGUUGGAAGGUUUAAGACUCUCCCAACAACCACCUGCUAUGAUACAAAAUGACCCGCCUCCUAUUAAGAGAGUCAUCACAAAAGGGAGUUGUUCGACGGUUGAUCCACCAGGGGAUGACUUUGAUUCAACUAGCCAAUGUGAGUUGUAUGUUGAUUAUGAGUCUUCCACCUGAUUUGUGACCCUGGGCAAGUGUUACGAAGGGGUCACAAUGUGACUCUUUCUUCUAAUUUGAUAAAGGUCACGAUGGAGAAGGUCCUUUAUGACGAUGUUGCAAUUCCUGUGCCAACAUCAGAGGUGACAAUUGUAGCAGAGGCAUUACAUACUUUCAUUGCCUGAUCUAGGCAUCUCGUCAGACCUAUAUCAGAAUCUAUGGUAUAUCUUUGCACUAAUAGGAUUAUAUAUAAAAUAUGUUAUAUAUGUUAGAAUAUAUGACCUUAAACAAGAGGGGGGGUGAAUUUUUUAUGAAAGAUCUUCGCAAACUUUGAAGAUAUAAUGAAGUUCAAUGUAGAAUCACAGAUACAGAAAUCUAGAAAGCAAUCAAACAAAACAGUUUAAGUUGAUUAUCAGAAAAUCAACCAGUUGUUUUUGCGAUUCAACCGAAUGUUUUUAUAAACAGAGUUAAAAACAACUUAAAAGCAAAAUUUAAAUGAGUUCAGGGCAAAAGAAAUGCACACAAGCAAUUUAUACCGGUUCACCCUUAUCCCAAAAGCUACAUCCUAUCCCCAAAAAUCAUUGGGUAUCUACUAUGCAAUCAAAAUUCAGAUUACAAACACACCACCAAAGAAGUGACAUUGAACACCUCAAGUCACACACUUCCUUUGGCACACAAUCACCACAGAAAUCAGAACACCCUUUGAUUCUGCACUUACACAACAGUAUUCAGAAAUACAAGAGAUACAGAAAGGAUUAUAACUGAUGAAAGAUCAAAUCAAAAGAUUACAGCAAUCCUAUUCCACUUCUUUGAGAAAACCCAAAAGCUUGAAUGCAAAUCUUGAAAACUCAAAUCUGUUUUCACACUUUCACAAAUGUCUAAAAAUAGUUAUCACUUUUGAGGAGCGCAUAACAACCUUUUUAAAUACCCCAAAAGUUUGUUAAAAACAUUUAAAACAGGAGCAUAUUCGUUUAGAAAAUAGUUAAAGCUGAUUUGAAAACUUAAUAGAAAUUCUGUUAUGGAUUUUAAAAAACAAUCGGUUGAAUAUUCGAAACAACCGAUUGAAUUGGUUUGAUAGCAAAGUCAACAAAGUCAAACAGCUUCGAACCCUUUUAAAAAACCACUAAGUGUCGAACAACCGAUUGAAUCGAUAAAACAACAGGUUGAUUUUUCCACUUCUUUAUAAAGCAAUGUUUUUCAAAAAAAGGAUUUAAAACAAUUUUAAAUUCAAACAAAGAGUGGAUUACACAUUAAUCUACCCAGAUCCCACCCACACAAGCAACAACUUCAACCUUCCAUCAAACACCAUGGAUUUGGAGACAUCAAAGCUUCAAGAUCAUCUUUGAUAAACAAUCUCCUCCUAUUUGAUGAAGACAAAUCCUUGGUUGCUUGUGUUGAUCUGUUUGAGUCUGAAUUAGCACCUGCAAAACAGAAACUAUGCAAACAUAAAGCAGAUAAAACAGCAGGUUACCAAGGCACACAAACCAGUUUUCUGCAUUUCCAAAAGAGUAGAAAAACCAGCCAAAAACAGUGCCAAACCAGUGAGUGUAGCAGCAACAUAAACAAUUUUAAGAAAAAUUAAAACUUUAAAUAAGAGUUUGCAGUAGCAGCAUACACCACACAGAAACCAACACAUUCUUCCCCUAUUUGUCUUCACAAAUAGAAUGAAGAAAGGGAUAAAAACAGAAUUAAGAAAAAGUUUUUGAAUCAAAAAUACCUAACUCAUUUCUUAAAAAGAAAGAUUUGUCCUUUGGCAGAGGCUUUGUGAAUAUAUCAACAAGUUGCAACCUUGUCUCAAAGAAUUUCAUCUCACAAUCUCCAUUGUUCACAUGAUCCCUUAUGAAGUGAUGACGGAUUUCAAUGUUCUUUGUUCUUGAGUGAUGAAUCUGAUUCUUAGUGAGGUUUAUAACACUUGUGUUGUCACAAAGCAAAGGCACCUUGCUAAUCUUUAAACCAAAAUCUUCUAGUUGUUGUUUGAGCCAAAGAAUUUGUGAACAACAAUUUCCAACAACUAUGUGUUUUGCCUCUGCAGUGGAAAGAGCCACACAAGCUUGUUUCUUGCUAUGCCAAGAAUAAGACUUGAUCCAAGAAGGUGACAAGUCCCACUUGUGCAUUUCCGGUCUAGCUUACACCCUGCAAAAGCAGAAUCAGAAUAUCCAAUUAAGUGUAUAGGAGAGUGAGAAGGAUACCAUAAUCUAACAUUGGUUGUCCCCUUGAGAUAUUUGAGAAUUCGUUUUGCAGCCUUGAGAUGAGAUUCCUUUGGAUUUGCUUGGAAUCUUGCACAUAGACACACGAAAAACAUGAUAUCCGGCCUACUUGUUGUGAGAUAAAGUAAGGAACUAAUCAACCCUCUAUAUUUGGUUUGAUCUACCUCUUUUCUAGCCACAUCAGCAUCCAUAUAGCAACUUGAUGGCAUAGGUGUGCUGGCUUCUUUGCAACUUUCCAUUUCAAACUUCUUGAGAAUUUCUUUGCAGUACUUUGAUUGACUUAGGAAAAUUCCAUCUUUGGAUUGCUUACCUGCAGUCCAAGAAAGAAUGAAAGCUCCCCCAUCAUUGACAUUUCAAAUUCUCCUUGCAUGGCAGCCACAAACUCUUCACAUAAACUAUCUUUGGUAGCACCAAAAAUGAUGUCAUCAACAUAGAUUUGGACCAAGAUAAUUUCAGAAUUUGACUUCUUGAUAAAGAGAGUUUUGUCUAUCAUCCCUUUCUCAUAGCCAUUGGAUAAAAGAAAGUUACUAAGCCUUUCAUACCACUGCCUUGGAGCUUGUUUAAGCCCAUACAUGACCUUUUUUCAGCUUGUAUACAUGGUUAGGAUGUUGAUGAUCUUCAAAGUCCGGUGGUUGUUCAACAUAGACUUCCUCAUUGAUGAUUCCAUUAACGAAAGCACUCUUAACAUCCAUUUGAAACAAUUUGAAUCCACUCAUACAAGCAAAGGACAACAACAACCUUACAACUUCUAAUCUUGCAACUGGAGCAAAGGUUUCACCAUAAUCUAUGCCUUUUUCUUGAUUAUAACCUUUAGCCACAAGUCUUUCCUUUUUUCUUGUUAUCACUCCAGAUUCAUCCAGCUUGUUUCUGAAAACCCAUUUGCUUCCAAUGAUGUUCAUCUAGUCAUCCUUUGGAACAAGAAACCAAACAUCAUUUCUUGUGAAUUGAUGCAGUUCUUCAUGUAUGGCAGCUACCCAUUUAUCAUCCUUGAGAGCUUCUCCAAUUGAUUUUGGUUCAUUUUGGGAGACAAAGGUCAUAUGCUUGCAGUAGUUAAAGACAACACUACAUGUAGAAACAUCCUUCUGGAUUUGGCCAAUGAUGUUCUCUACUGAAAGAUCCCUUGGAAUUCUCCAUUCCUUUGGCAGCUCUUCCUGUUGCAAAAUUUCAACCGGUUGUUUCGCAGAAUCAAUCGAUUGUUUUUCUGGACAGGAUUCCAAUUUCUGCAUAAUGAUGUUCUUCUCAUCUUCUUCUGCAUAAUUCUUUGUAGAACCCUGAUUUGUAUGAUUGAUUUCAUCGAACACCACAUGAACAGACUCCUCCAAAGUCAUAAGUCUCUUAUUGUAGACUCUAUAUGCAUGGCUAGUUGAAGAAUAGCCAAUGAAGAUGCCAUUUUCGGCUUUUUCAUCAAACUUGCCCAGAUUUUCUUUCCUAUUAUUCAGAAUGAAACAUCUGCAUCCAAACACCUUUAGGUGACUAAUAUUUGGCUUCCUUCCAUUGAAAAGCUCAUAUGAAGUUUUCUUCAAGAUUGGCCUUAUAAGCACUCUAUUCAUCACAUAACAAGAAGUGCUCAUUGCAUCAGCCUAAAAAUACUUGGGUAAGGAAUAUUCACUUAGCAUGGUUCUUUCUAGUUCUCUAAGAGACAUGUUCUUCCUCUCCACUACUCCAUUCUGUUGAGGAGUUCUUGGUGCAAAAAAAUUAUGAAAAAUUCCCAGCUUUUCCCAAAAAGUGCUGAAUUUUUCAUUUUGGAACUCCCCUCCAUGAUCACCUAAUUGUAAUGAUGUUGCUGCAACAAGAUUUUGCCAAUCUUUUGGCAAGCUUCUUGAAUGCAGAGAAUGCCUCACUCUUUGACUCCAAGAACAACGUCCAUGUAUACAUAGAAAAGUCAUAAUCAACAACAAGUGCAUAGUAGUUUCCACCAAGACUCAUGGUUCUUGAAGGACCAAAUAAAUCCAUGUGCAGCAGCUCAAGGGGUUUUGAAGUAGAAACAAUAUUUUUCAAUUUGAAAGAAUGCUUAAUUUGUUUCCCUUUUUGGCAUGCUUCACAAAAAUGGUCUUUCUCAAACUUGAGUUUGGGUAACCCUAUUACAAGAUCUUUAGAUAUCAAUUUAUUCAAAUGAUGCAUGUGAAUAUGAGCUAUUCUUCUAUGCCAUAACCAAGAUUCAUCAUGUUUUGAAAGAAGACUACCAAUAGAUGUAGGAGAAGAGAUAUCUAAAAGAUAAACAUUGUUGAUCCUUUUACCAAUCAACACUACUUCCUUUGAAUUGGGUAGGCAUAUCUCACAAGAGUUGGACUUGAAGGUUACUUGAUAACCCUUAUCACAUAGUUGGCUAAUGCUAAGAAGACUGUGCUUGAGACCUUCCACAUAUAAGACAUCAUGAACCAAGAAGUUGUUCUUGUCUCCAAUGGUGCCUCUUCCAAGAAUCUUUCCUUUAUUGUUGUCUCCAUAAGUCACAUGUUCUUCUUGCUUGAAAUUGAUGUUCACAAACUUAGAUUUAUCUACAGUCAUGUGUUUGGAACAACCACAUCUCCAUGUUUUCCAUCAAGUUUACCUACAAAAGAGAAAUUCAAGAAACAAGAUUUGGUUCCCUUACAAAUGUGGGUCCUUUGGCAUUAACUUUAUCAUGAGGAACCUAAGAAUUCUUGGGAAUCCAUCUCAUUACUCCUUUAGGAACAUAAAACUUCCUAAUAUUGCAGAAUCUAACUGAGUGACCUCUCUUCAUGCAAUACAAACAUGUAAAAACCAGUUGUUUCGAUUUUUCAAUCGGUUGUUUUUAUGACAGUUUUGAAAAAGGCUUUGAAAACUCAUUUUUCUUGCUCUGUGGAUUAAAACCUAAAACUGCUUUUCCAAAAACACAAUUUUGAGAUGCCAAGACAAUCUCAAAGUUGGAUUUACCCUUUGAAAGCCUAUCCACAAUUUUCUCAAGGUAGUGAACCUUCUUUUCAAGAGAUUCACAAUUUUCACAAACAAGUGAGUCACACUUGCAAGAAGAGUUCUUGUAAAGCAUUUCUAGAUUUUCAAAAUCAGUUUUUGAAUUCUCCAACUAUUCUUCCAGUGCCUUGACUCUGUUUUCAAGCCAGUUAUUCAUACCUUUCAAUCAGUUGUUCAAGAGAGUCAAUCAGUUAGCUUCCUCAUGUGUUUCUUUAAAAGCUUGAAGAAGUUGACUAUAAUUUUCAGCAUUUAAAGAAGUACAAUAACUUACACUACUUGCAUCAUCCUCUUCCUUGGCCAUCAAACACAAAUUAGCUUCUUCAUCUUCACUUGAUGAGGAGCUUGAUGAAGAGACAUCAUUUUCGUCCCAAGCAAUGUAGGCUUUUUUUUUUUCCUUCUUUUCCUUCUUGUUUGACUUAUUCUCUUUGUUCUCUUUAUUUGGGCAUUCUGCCUUUAUGUGCCCCUGUUCUCCACAACCAUAACAAGUAUAUUUGUUAGCAUUAAAAUCACUAGAUUUUUUGUUGCCAUACCUCUCUUGGUUGGAGUAUUUGUUGCGGUUCUUUUUCAAGAAUUUGUUGAACUUUUUGGAUAGCAAACUAAGAGUUUCUCCCUCACUCUCAUCACUUGAAACUUGAUUAUUCUUGUGCUUGACAGCUUUUAAAGCAAUGUUUCUCACAUGCUUAUCUUCACUCUCUUGAAUGUUUAGUCUAUUCAUCUCCACUCAUGCUCCUUAAGCUUUCCAAACAAGGAAGUUGUAGUCAAAGAUGUCAAAUCCUUUGAUUCUGAGAUAACCGUGACUUUAGGUUGCCUAGAUCUAUCAAGACAUUUGAGAAUCUUGAUAUUCAACUCUUCUUUGUCAAAGACCUUUCCAAGACUCAUGAGCUGAUUGACAAUAUGAGUGAAUCGCUUUUGCACAUCCGCAAUCGAUUCUACUUUAACCAUUUUGAACAUCUCAUACUCUUGGAUUAUAGUAUGUUUCCUUGCCCUCUUUACAUCGUUAGUUCCUUCAUGAGUUACUUCUAGGGUAUCCCACAUCUCCUUAGCAGAUCUGCAUUGAAAGACCUUGAAAAACUCAUCAGAAUUUAAGGCAGAGGUGAUAAUAUUUUUUGCAAUGCAAUUAAACUUUGCUCUUUUGUUUUCUACAUCAAUCCAUUGGGACCAAGGCUUUUCAAUAAAAACUCCAUCAUUUUCAAGCUUAGAAAUAAAAGGGUCAUUUUCAAUUGCAUCCCAUAUUCCUCUCUUUAUAAAGAGAUUCAACAAAGAUCUUCAUACGUAUCUUCCAAAAUUGGUAAUUCAAACCACAAUACAAAUGUUGUCUGUUUAUUGAUGCACCCUCCCCAAAGGAUAAUUUUUCAGCCAUAAGAAAAAGAUUUUUAGGAUCAAACUUGAAUAUUUUUUAAGAACCAAGCUCUUGAUGCCAAUUGUUAAAAUAUAUGGCCUUAAACAAGAGAGAAAGUGAAUUGUUUAUGAAAGAUUUUCGCAAACUUUGAAGAUAUAAUGAAAUUCAAUGCAGAAUCACAGAUACAGAAAUUUAGAAAGCAAUCAAACAAAACUGUUUAAGUUAAUUAUUAUAAAAUCAACCGGUAGUUUUUGCGAUUGAACUGGUUGUUUUUAUCAACAGAGUUAAAAACAACUUAAAAGCAUAAUUUAAAUGAGUUUAGGGCAAGAGAAAAGCACACAAGCAAUUUAUACCGGUUCACUCUUAUCCCAAGAGCUACAUUCAGUCCCCAAAAAUCACUGGGUAUCUACUAUGCAAUCAAAAUCCAAAUUACAAACACACCACCAAAAAAGUGACUUUGAACACCUCAAGUCACACACUUCCUUUGGCACAUAAUCACCACAAAAAUCAGAACACCCUCUGAUUCUGAACUUACACAACAAUAUUUAGAAAUAUAAGAGAUACAGAAAGGAUUAUAACUGAUGAAAGAUCAAAUCAAAAGAUUACAGCAAUCCUAUUCCACUUCUUUGAGAAAAUCCAAAAGCUUGAAUGCAAAUUUUGAAAACUCAAAUUUGUUUUCACACUUUCACAAAUCUCUAAAAACUGUUUUACUUUUGAGGAACGCAUAACAACCUUUUUAAAUACUCCAAAAGUUUGUUAAAAACAUUUAAAGCAGGAACCUAUUUCAAUUAGAAAACAUUUAAAGCUGAUUUGAAAACUUAACAGAAAUUCUGUAAUGGAUUUUCAAAAAACAAUCGGUUGAAUUUUCGAAACAACCGAUUGAAUUGGUUUGACAGCAAAGUUAACCAAGUCAAACAGCUUCAAACCCUUUUCAAAAACCACUAAGUGUCAAACAACCGAUUGAGUCGAUAAAACAACAGGUUGUUUUUCCACUUCUUUAUAAAACAAUCUUUUUUAAAAAAGGAUUUGAUUCCAAACAGUUUUAGAUUGAAACAAAGAGUGGAUUACACAUUAAUCUACCUAGAUCCUAUCCACACAAGCAACAACUUCAGCCUUGCAUCAAACACCAUGGAUUUGGAGACAUCAAAGCUUCAAGAUCAUCCUUGAUCUACAAUAUACUAACUUUUUUUUAAUCGGCAAUCAAUAAAUUGAACAAAAAGGGAACACAGAGGGGUGUUCCAACCCUUUUACAAUAUUAUUUGUUUUUUGUUGAUGAGUAGUAGGAACAUAAGAAAAAACUGUCUUUGUAAAAGUAGAAAACAUUCUCCAUUGAUGUUGGUGGAAGUUGCUACAGCUUUAGAUACAACCGUCGUAGAGGUUCCAUGGGAUGCCAAUAUUUUUGGAAGGCAUAGUGAUGUAUUAUUGUACUUUCACAUGUUUGAUUUGUUGGACCUUGUAUUCAAAAAUCGGGAGUUAACAUAAUAGUUAUGCAAUUAUGGAUCAUGUAAGUUCAAUUAUUAAAAUAUUUAUACUCUUUAUUUAUUAUAUAUAUUACUAAUAACUUAUUGAAGUUUAGGUAUAUUUGUGGAUUAUGUUUUCAUGAGUGGAAACAAGAUACAUAUGGGUUUUUAGACCAUCAACACAUUCAAUCAAUGGGUAACAAAAAGUUAAAAACACAAACAUACAUCACCACUGCCUUAAAGAAUGGAGGAAAAUAAAUUUAUAUUUCUCCAUAUAUCCAUGAGUAAGUUCAUAUUCAUUAAAUAAGUUAUACUAAAUUAUUGAAAUAAGAGAAACUAACUAAUUUGUUAUAUAUUAUGCAUCAUUAGCAACUACUGAUCAUAUAUGUUCAAGAUCAUAUCGUUGCAUGGUUUUGCUCCUUGUAUAAGAAACCUCCUAACUAUUUUAAACACAUUAUAGAUAGGUACAACAAUUUCAUUUAACAUCUAUUAUUACUUAUACAUUACAUAAUGUGUUAUAACAUAAAAUCUUAUUAUUUUAGUGCUUAUUCUGGAUAUAACAUGUUGAGUGGGAGGGGAAGUGCAAACGCGAAAAAACUUACUUGGAUGCACCUUAAGGUAUUUAAAUUAUAUUUUUUUAUUUUGACUUGCAGUGCAAUAAACAAUCUGAAAAUUAUGAGUGUGGUUAUUAUGUGAUGUAGUGGAUACUAUUAUGUGAGCUGGAAUUGAUAGAAGUUGGGAUCAUGUUAUAUCUCAAUACACAAACACUUUAAAAUUUGGGGUUUACUAUUUAUACACUAAUUUAAAAAAAAAUUCAAAUAUCACAAUUUUUCAAUGAUCCACAACUGCUAGAUUCAAAAAUAUUGGGAUAUGUCAAGACAACAUGGUCAAUUGUUCUCACUGGUUGACUCAAACGACAGUCUCUGUCCCUCCUAUCUCCGCCUGAGAAUCGAACUUCCUUGGUUGAAGAAUCUCUCACCUGCAAAGACAAAGGGCGCCUUGACGGCCGUUUACACUCCGACGCUCAAGUCAAUAUUAGGGCAAAGAAACACUAAGUGUAUAAAGUAGUUUCAGUCUUAGAAAUCGUGUACCUUGCUAAGGUUUUUAGCGCCCUGCCCUUUAUAUAGGUUGAAACUAGGGUUUACCUCUGUUCUGUUACCCAUGUCUAGGGUUCCUUGGAGAAUGUCUGUUCUGUUACCCAUGUCUAGGGUUCCUUGGAGAAUGUCCUUGCGCCGCUAUUACACAAUCUUAGCGUAAUCUGGCGCCAUCUGUUAUGCGGGUGCCCUAAGUAUUCACAUGUCAUGCAUGCAACUUCCCUUGGAAACCCUAACCCUAGCGGGCCUUAGCGCCUCUGAUGCGGACAUCCAAGCCCAAGGGCCACGCACAACAAGAUUGGAAUAUUAAAAUAAAAUAAUAUUAUUAUUUUAUUUGGAGUUAGGAUUUGAACUCAUGACCAAGUACAGAGUAUCAACCUAACCACUAGGACAAAUGAUCAUUCUUGAAAUAUAAGGAUUGUAGUAUCGUCUUAUUUUCUUACAAACAAGAAAAGACCUUUGUAAUUUAUACACUGUUGAAACUCAGAAUAGGGACGAAUAUUUUGACAAUUUUAGAGAGUGUUUCUCUGCUAGGUUUUUCCCUGUAUCUUGCGAUCUUAUCAAGAAUCCACCAAUUCUUGUGGCGAUCAUCCUUAGGCUUAUCAAACUUUGUUUGUGGCGCCUUCCUUUAUCCAGGUUUCUAUUGUUACUGUUUUGAAUUUAUUCCGUUCCGUAACCCUAAAUUCCCAAUUUUAUUGUCAUUUCUAUUUGGAUUCAUAUCAGUUGGUAUUCAGGACAAAGGUUUGAGUCAUAAUAUAAUUAUGCAUCCUGUAUUUUUUUUCCCUCAUUACUGUUCACGGUACUGUUCACGACACUGUUUGUUCACGUACUGUUCACGGGGGGUACUGUUCACGACACUGUUCACGGUACUGUUAAUUUUUUUUAUUUUUUAAAAAAAAAGCAUAAACAGAAAAAAAAAAGAACAAGAGAAAAACAGAAAAAAAAAUAGUUCUUAUUCAGUGCAUACUUGGUGUUUGUUAAAAGUUCUAAAAGUGUCUUGUCUACAUAUUUUAUUUUCUCUAUAUAUUGUUUUUACUUGCUGUUUUUUUAAUUGUUUUGCUUGUUUGUUGAUAGUGAAAUUGUUCUUCACUAUUUUGUUCUUUACUAUUAUUUUUAAUUGAUUCUAAUUGCUACUUUUGAAAGUGAUUCUGGAUUAUUGAUUGCUUGAUUCUUGUAAGAACCUUAAGUAGAGAAAGAGUGGUAAAAGGAAGUGUGAUCAUUAGAAAAAAAACUUAUUGUGUGAAACACGAGUGUUGAGUGUAAACACGUGAGAAAGUGGUGUGAGGCCCAAACUUAUUGUUAUUUGUAAUCUGUUUACUUGAGCAUGGCAGGGGAACCGUCAGAUAGAGGACUGUCUCAACUACAGAUGCAAGCCUUAACACAACACUUGGAAAGGAUAAUGAAAUAACAAAGUGAUGGACUCCAUGAGAGGUUGGAUCAAAUGGAGCAAGCACAACAAGUAAAUCCAGAAAAUAGAGGGGGAUAUAGGAGGAGGAGAAGAGAAAAUGAUGGAGAACAAAGAACUCUGAGAAUUGAUGGAAUAAAAUUAAAUAUUCCCACAUUCAAUGGGAAAAGUGAUCCUGAUGCUUACUUGGAGUGGGAAAUUAAAGUAGAGCAUGUGUUUGCUUGCAAUGAGUACAAUGAGGAGCAGAAGAUGAAGUUGGCAGCAGCUGAAUUUCCAGCUUAUGCUUUAACUUGGUGGAAUAAAUACCAAAGGGACAGAACUAGAUAUGAAGAACCCAUGGUAGAAACUUGGACAGAAAUGAAAAGGAUUAUGAGGAAGAGAUAUAUUCCAACAAGCUACAAUAGGGAUUUGCAACUCAAACUUCAAAGAAUGACUCAAGGAAAUAAAAGUGUGGAAGAGUAUUUUAAAGAGAUGGAGGUGACCAUGAUUAGAUCUGGAAAGAAUGAAGAAAAUGAAGCAAUCAUGGCAAGAUUUUUGAAUGGAUUGAAUCAUGAUAUUAAGGAUCUUGUGGAGCUGCAAGAGUAUGUUGACAUGAAAGAGUUGUUGCACAAGGCUAACCAAGUAGAACAACAACUCAAGAGGAAGGGAAUCAUGAGGAGUUCUAACAAUAAUAAAAAUUUCAAUUGGAAGGAUAAGGCGAUGAAGGAUAAAGGAGUUCCCUCAAGUUCAGUCACAUCUUCAAGUGGGAAGUCACCUCAUAGAUAUAAUAAAUCACCACCUAAAAGGAAAACAAGUGAGGUAAAAUGUUUCAAAUGCUUGGGAAGAGGACAUUAUGCUUCAGAAUGUCCAACAAAAAAGAAUAUGAUCAGUUUAUCAAAGACACAAAUAGUCAGGGAACCUUCAAGUGAAGAAGAGAAAGAAGAGGUAGAGGUGGAGUUUGAUACAUUGGAGGGUGAUUUGUUGAUGAUUCGGAAGCUUAUGGGAAGCAAAAUGCAAGCUUUGGACCAAACCCAAAGGGAAAAUAUUUUCCAUACUAUAUGUUCCAUUCAAGGGAAAAUAUGUUCACUCAUAGUUGAUGGAGGAAGUUGCACCAAUGUAGCUAGCUCAAGACUAGUUACCAAAUUGAAUUUGGAGACAAAAUCGCACCCAAGGCCAUACAAGCUUCAAUGGCUUAGUGAAGAUGGAGAGAUGAAAGUGAGUAAGCAAGUGGAGGUGCACCUAUCCAUAGGACAAUAUAAUGAUAAUGUCUUGUGUGAUGUGGUUCCAAUGGAGGCAACUCACAUUUUGUUAGGGAGGUCGUGGCAGUUUGACACCAAGGCUAUUCAUGAUGGUUUCACCAAUAAAAUUUCUUUCAUGCGGAAUAAUAAGAAGAUCAUUCUCAAACCAUUAUCUCCUAGAGAGGUGUGUGAGGAUCAAAUCAAAUUGAGAGAAAAGAUAGAUGAGUGAAACACCUAAACAGAGCAAGAGUGAAACACUUAAAAAGAUAGAAACACAUGAGAGAAAAAUGAGUGGAUUACUGAAAGUGAAUGAAGUGAAGAAGUUGCUACUUUCUAGAAAACCUCUUUAUUUACCUUAUUGCAAAAACAACACUUUGGUUGCUGACCAUUUUAACCAAAUUGAUUUUCUUCCUAGUGUUGAUUGUGUUUUGCAGGAAAUCCAAACUCAAGUUGAAGAAUUGAUGAACAAAGGAUGGGUACAAGAGACCAUGAGCCCAUGUGUUGUUCCAGUAAUUUUGGUGCCUAAAAAUGAUGGUUAUUGGAGGAUGUGCACAGAUUGCAGAGCACUCAAUAACAUUACCAUUAAGUAUAAACACCAUAUUCCCAGGUUAGAUGAUUUAAUGGAUGAAUUGUAUGGUGGUUGUAUAUUUUCAAAAAUUGACUUAAGAAGUGGUUGCCAUCAAAUUAGGAUUAGGAAUGAGAAUGAAUGGAAAACUGUCUUUACAACAAAAUAUGGAUUGUAUGACUGGCGUGUGUUGCUAUUUGGGCUAACAAAUGCCUCAAACACUUUUAUGAGAUUAAUGAACUAUGUUUUGAGAGAAUUUUUGGGCAAAUUUUUUGUGGUGUAUUUUGAUGACAUCUUGAUCUAAAGCACUAGUUUGGAAUUACAUGAGGAACAUUUGUGUGCUGAACUAAUUAUGUUUACAUCAUGUUGAGUUUGCUUAAAUCCUUUAACUCCAAUAUAUUCCUUAAACACAUGAGGAAAGAAAUGCUUUGAUGCGAACAUCCAAGCCCAAGGGCCACGCACAACAAGAUUGAAAUAUUAAAAUAAAAUAACAAUUAUUAUUUUGUUUGGAGUUAGGAGUUAGGAUUUGAACUCAGGGCCAAGUACAGAGUAUCAACCUAACCACUGGGACAAAUGAUCAUUCUUGAAAUAUAAGGAUUGUAGUAUCGUCUUAUUUUCUUACAAACAAGAAAAGACCUUUGUAAUUUAUACACUGUUGAAACUCAGAAUAGGGACGGAUAUUUUGACAAUUUUAGAGAGUGUUUCUUUGCUAGGGUUUUUCCCUGUAUCUUGCGAUCUUAUCAAGAAUCCACCAAUUCUUGUGGCGAUCAUCCUUAGGCUUAUCAAACUUUGUUUGUGGCGCCUUCCUUUAUCCAGGUUUCUAUUGUUACUGUUUUGAAUUUAUUCCGUUCCGUAACCCUAAAUUCUCAAUUUUAUUGUCAUUUCUAUUUGGAUUCAUAUCAGCCUCCAAGGACUAUUUACCCGUGUCGUGCUUGAAUGCGCUAUACACACCACCUACAUGGAUCUCUCGUGACUUAGGCUUUCCUCAUAUAUGAUGUUUUAACUGGUAACUUAGUAUAAUUCUAGGGCCCACCUUGCAUGACCCACUAUUACUAUCAGACACCGAUGUCCGAUGUCUGAUGUCUCUCUUUGAUGUCGAUGUCUAUGGCACCGAUGUCCGAAGACUGACCAAUACCCUGAUAUGUGCGUCUGGAGUCUACCUGACGUGGCUCACUUCUACUAUCCGGCAUGCGAUGUUUGAGGUUCGUCGCUAAAGUCGAUGAUCGAGGACUGGUCGGUACAUCAAUGAAUGAUUAUUAUAAAUUUUUAUAGAAUUAUUUCAUAUAUUAUAUAUUAUAAAACUUUUUGUAAAAUAAUAUUAUAUGUGCUUAAUUAAUUAUACGUAGUCUUUGAUAUUUAAAUUAAGAUAUUAUAUUCAUUAUACUCAGUCCAGCCAAGGCUCAUCUUCAAACCCAUCAAUUCAUAGCCCAAGUUGCAUAUCUCCUCCUUUUCAACUUCAUUGCUCUUUCUUUCUGUUUAUUUAUUUAUUGAUUCGUUUCAACCACUUUAACCCCACCAUCAUAAAACAGCAAAGCAUAGCAUGAGAAAAUCCAGUAAUGGCAUCUUCAACAACAUUGUGUUUGGGUGUUCUAAUUCCUCUGAUAUUGUUCCAUAACUUGCAUGCUUCAUCUUCCUUGUCUCUCUCCGUAGAGAAGUUGAAAGAAGACGUGAUAGUGUCAUCACCCAAACCAACAUUCACAGCAGGCUUUUACGCCGUCGGACACAACGCUUUCUGCUUCGCAAUAUGGUACACCAACUCACCCAACACCCUCGUUUGGAUCGCCAACCGGGACCACCCCGUUAACGGAAGACGCUCCACCCUCUCCCUUCACAAAUCCGGCAACCUCGUACUCACCGACGCCGCCCAGUUCCAAGUCUGGUCCACCGCCACCGCCACCACAUCCAAACAAGUCCACUUACGUUUGCACGACAACGGCAACCUUGUACUCCUCGAAGAUUCCUCCGACAACGCUGUUUUGUGGCAGAGCUUCGAUUUCCCAACCGACACGCUUCUUCCAAAUCAGCCUCUGAGAGGGAGCACCAACCUGGUUUCCUCGAGAAGCGGGAGCAACCACUCCUCCGGUUUCUACAAGCUCUUCUUCGACUUCGAGAAUGUUCUACGCCUUAUGUACCAGGGCCCUCGAGUUUCCAGCGUUUUCUGGCCUUACGCUUGGCUUCAGAGCAACAACUUCGGUAAUGGCAACGGCAGAUCUACUUUCAAUGAUAGCAGGGUUGCUUUGCUUGAUGAUUUGGGUGCCGUGCUUUCUUCCGACAACUUCACUUUCAGAACGAUCGAUUACGGGACGGUGCUUCAGCGGAGAUUGACCCUGGAUCAUGACGGUAAUGUGAGGGUGUACACCAUGAUAGAUGGAGAAGAGAAGUGGGUGGUGUCAGGGCUGUUUCGCCCCCAACCUUGUUUUAUUCAUGGCAUUUGUGGACCCAACAGCUAUUGCACCAAUGUCCCCACAAUUGGAAGAAAGUGUUCCUGCCUUCCAGGUAUUUCAGGAAAGUAGCAGAGGAAACAGUGAAUUGGGGUCUUUUUGAAUAAAGUUCUUACUAAAAGUGGUAAAUAAGAAGUUAAAACGCAUUGAGCUUCUUCGUCAACUAAUGUUAAAAUAAAGUAAGUUUUUCCCAUGGAUAUUCUAAAACCAAAUUUUGCUUUAGAAGUUGGAGUGAAUAUGUUGAUUUGAAGUUACAAGAUAAGUUUAUUUACUUCAUUUUACUUCGUAUUUUCCCCCUUUAUAAUUGUUUAUACAUAUGGUUGUCUUCUCCUGUAGUGUUCAUUGAGAAAUUUAUGCUAUCAGGUCACAGAUGGGUUGAUGGUCAAGACUGGACUCUAGGUUGCAUACCGAAUUUUGAACCUUGGUGCAACAACACUAUGCAAGAGUCUCGUUUCGUGGGUUUACCUGAAUUUGAUUUUUAUGGAUAUGACUAUGGCUUCUAUCCGAAUCACACUUACGAAGAAUGUGUGAAUCAGUGCUUGCGAUUGUGCCAAUGCAAAGGGUUUCAGCAUAGUCUUUCAGACCAAGGUGGUUUGGGUAGUCAGUGCUACCUGAAGACACAGUUGCUGAAUGGGCAUCGUUCAGCAGGUUUCACGGGAUCAUUCUUCCUGAGACUACCUUUGUCUCUUGAUUAUGAGAACCCCAUCAAUAAUGGUUUGGUUUGUGGGGGAAAUAGCGGAGGAGUGAAAGAACUAGAAAGACCGUAUGUGGAAGAAAAAGAAAAUGAAUCGGUGAGGUUCAUGCUGUGGUUUGCGAGUGCCUUGGGAGGAAUUGAGGUUUUGUGCUUCUUGAUGGUGUGGUGUUUUUUGUUUAGGAAUAAUGCAGACAAACAAGCCUAUGUUCUUGCUGCGGAGACGGGGUUUAGGAAAUUCAGUUAUUCUGAAUUGAAACAAGCCUCCAAAGGUUUCAGUGAAGAGAUUGGAAGGGGUGGUGGAGGUACAGUGUAUAAAGGUGUCUUGUCUGAUGAUCGGGUUGUGGCGAUAAAAAGACUACAUGAAGUAGCAAACCAAGGAGAAAGUGAUUUCCUGGCUGAAGUAAGCAUCAUUGGAAGGCUUAACCACAUGAACUUAAUUGGCAUGUUGGGGUUUUGUGCGGAGGGAAAGUAUAGGUUGUUGGUUUAUGAGUACAUGGAGAAUGGUUCUUUAGCUCAGAACCUUUCAUCGAGUUCAACUGUUCUUGAUUGGACUAAGAGGUAUAACAUUGCUCUCGGAACUGCAAGGGGUCUUGCUUACUUGCAUGAAGAAUGCUUGGAGUGGAUUUUGCAUUGUGAUAUUAAGCCCCAAAAUAUACUUCUCGACUCUGAUUACCAACCUAAGGUAGCAGAUUUUGGCUUGUCUAAGCUACUUAACCGGAACAACCUCGACAAUUCAACAUUCUCGAGGAUAAGAGGAACAAGAGGCUACAUGGCACCAGAGUGGCUUUUCAACUUGCCAAUCACUUCCAAGGUGGAUGUCUACAGCUAUGGCAUUGUCGUCUUGGAGAUGAUAACGGGAAGGAGCCCAACAGCAGGUAUCCAAAUCACUGCAUUAGAUGCAGAAUCACAUAAUCAUGGGAGGUUAGUGACAUGGGUGAGGGAGCAAAGGAGGAAAGGAUCAUCUUGGGUGGAUCAAAUUGUUGACCCUGCUUUGGGUUCAAACUAUGACAGGAAUGAAAUGGAGAUAUUAGCAACGGUGGCUUUGGAAUGUGUAGAGGAAGAGAAAGAUGUGAGACCCAGCAUGAGUCAUGUUGUUGAGAGAAUCCAAAGUCACGAGCACAAUUCUUGAUGAUGGUUUUGAACAAAGAAUAGCCAGACAUCCCAUGGUUUCACCUACCUUGUUUGUCAUCCACAGUUCCAGUUCCUCUCGUUUUUUGGUAGAUUCAGUCUAUCAAAAGUUGUCUGUUCGUGCCUUGUGGUAAAUCUUCUUUUGUUGUGAAGUUUAGUGUUGCUGUUGUAUAUCAGAUUCUAGUGCUUGUAAACCGUAUGUUGUUACAGUUGCAGAAUAUUUCCAUUAAUUGCAACAUGCACUUUUGUUCCUUUAACAUUAUCUGUUGUAUGAUUCCAACUCUAUCAUAAAAUUAGUUACUUCGUACAUAUUCAACCUUAAAAUUAUGGCAACAAUUUUGAAGAUAUAGUUUUACUAUGAUACCCAUUUUUGUAUUAAGCUCUGAAUUACAUAUUCUUUCUGGAUUACACAUUCUUUCUUAUAACCCCAUUGGCUGUGCCAAUGCGGUAGUAACCUUAAGCUAGGGUUAUAAGAUGCAAAAUGAAUGAUUUCCCUGGAUAUUUGAGCGAUCAGGACAUUCCAAUUAACAGGCAAAAAGUUUAUGUUCGGUCCUCUGACUCUUGAGAGCUUUGCAGUUAAUUUAGUAGGUCCAUUGGCAGCGACAAACUACAGAUAUUAUUCAUAAAAUUUACAGACUGCUAUAAAACAAAUGAUAGAAGAUUGCUAAAUUGAUAAAUGAUUGCAAAAUUGAUAUUUUCUACCAAAUAAUGUCUCUUUCCAUGCCAUAUCUAACAUCCCCAGUUGAAUAGAAAUAUGGUGCCAAAUUCUAGUGGCCUAAAUUAGUAAAAGGACAUGACUCCACUCCAUAUCAGUACUUCCUCAGAAAUCAAACCAUCCACUUUGAUGGAAGAAAAAGAGAAAAAAUAAGGAAAAGAAAUGGAAAGAAAGAUAUUUGAGGGGUAAGGAUGAUACUAACUAAGCCUGAUGCUAGGAGCCUCGGGUGAAACAGUUUGUCUCUUGUUAAUAACUAACCAACUGUAGAGAAUGUCCCACAUAUCAAAUUCAUCUUUGCAUAGAAAUGGUUUUCCCAGACUUUCUAGACAUCUUCAUGAGUUUGAGUAGAAGUCUCCGGUUGAUUAUCCAAGGGCAUAUAUUGGGCCAUAAUUGCCCUUAUCUCAGAGUCCAUGUAUCUCUGCAGAAAAAUGUUUCCUCUUGUAAGUUAAACGAGUUUAGGAUGUCAAUGCUUAAAUUAUAAAAACUGAUUGUCAUUUGAACCAGCAAAUCAGGACAACAUAACAUGCUCACUAACUGGAAUGAAUGAGAAAGUAUUAAUGAAAUGAAAAGAUGAUUUAACGAAAUGUAGUUAUAUUUUCUUAGAGCUACAGGUAUUGUAUUAUUUUUUAAUAAAAAACAAUAAUAUUAUUUCAUUACCACAUUGACUGCAAUCCUAACUAGAUUAGUACCUCAAUUAGUAUCUAUCAUUUGCAACAUCCCUCAAAAUCAUGUAUACAAGAGAAAAUAAUAGAAAAGAGCUAAAGGUAUUGUAUGACUUCAUUAAUUCUUUUAUUAAACUUCAGAUAGUUAUUUUGAGACAGUAUUUCGUAUGUGCUUCACUUUAUCUUCUUUUUAGUAUUCGUUCAGACAGACACUUAAUCUUGGUGCCGCCUGACUUACAGCCUUGUCUAAGGUGACCUGCAUCUUGUUCCUCCAACAUUGUACAUCCUUGUCGGAAACAUUCUCAUGUACCACUUACUGAGUGCUGCAUCAUCUUGGGACUGUUCAGUCUCUAUUUUAACUAUUAUGUUGAAUGUUUUGGUUUUAACCAAUGUUCACCUCAUACACAUCGAGCAUUGUAGUGUAACUGUAUUGUCUGAAACUAGGUGUACGAAGGAAACUCUCAUCCUUCCUGACUUUAAUCAUAAGAGUCUUUCACCAAUGCAGCAUGUUACCUCAACACUGGGAAAAUGGAUUUUUUAUAUUUUGAAGACUAUAAAUAUUGAAACAAUUGAAAUUAAUAUACCAGCUUUAAUCUACAUCUGCCUUGAGGAAUAUUUGUCAAAGUCACACUGUUUAAAGGACAAUCAAAUGAGUUAGAAUUAUACCCGGAUUCUGUAUUUGUAAAAUGCAUACCCUCCAGCACCAGCAACAACCAAGAUCAGAAGAACCAUCCAAACAAUGCCCCCACCGGCCACUGAAGCAGCAUAUUUUCCUGCAUAUUUGUAAGAUACCGCUAGUGUGAAAAUGAAUAAAUUAUUAUUUUUUAAGUCUCCACUACCAUGGAAAGGUUAUCAACAUAGAUAAUUAGAAAGCCCAGAAUAAAAUUUAGAACCUUCAGAAACUAAACUACAUACAGUAUAAAUAGAAAUAAAAUGCCAAAGUGGCAACCAGUGCAAAGUCAUGUUUUCCAUGAAGAAUCUCAUCUAUCAAAUUUUAACGAGUGAACAAAAUCUGCUGAUCCAGUAAGACAGGCAUAAAAAAUGUCAUACAAACUAAGUCAGAAAAUGUUAAAAAUAAAAACUCACCAAUGCACAUAUCAUUUUCUCGCGUGUAGAACAAACCAUCACUACAUGAGCAUUCAUAACUUCCCCAAGUAUUUCUGCAAUGACACUCUGGGCACUGGCAGGCCAAUUUCUCCGAGCAUUCGUCCACAUCUACAAAAUCAACACAAGAAAUAUUAAGAAACAAAUGUCAGAUUUGCAAGCUAAUAAUGAAUGGCAUGACUAUUUACAACUGUAGAAUCAUAUUCAAACAUUCUCACCAAGAUUAGUUCAUGAUUGAUGUAUUUGCCAUUCAAAGGUUAGGUACUAGAAGAGUAAUGCUAUAUCUUCCUACUCUAACCUCCUGCUAAUUCUCCUAAAAUCUAAUAAUGAAUUAAGAAAAAAAGUAAAUAUACUUUUAUCAUGAAAACAUAAAAACAUUCAAUACUCUUUUCAUUCAGUAAGUUUUAAAUUUUAUUGGAAGAUGUUGUAAGAAGAUUUAUAACUAUUUAUAUUAGAACAGUUCAAACAAAUUUUGAAUGUCAAAGUACCUUUACAGGAGUUGACUCCAUCUCCCCUGAAUCCAGGUGGACACUUGCAACCUUUGGUGUGGUCGUCCUGCAUAAUCAUUUAAGAAAGAAGGCAUAUAUCAACAUUCAAAGAAAAAAAGCAUGCAUGCAUGAUAAUGUAAAAGAGGAUGGAGAGGAUUACUUACAAUACAAGCAGAGAAAGUUGUGCGACCUUGGGUUUCUUUCCAACAACCUCCAUUGUUGAUUGCACACCUCAAGGCGCCUGUAGCUGCUUCGAAAUAAAAAUGUGUGAAGGUGAUAUUUAUAUUUUGAUUUUUAUAGCUUGGAGAUGAUGACAUGAAGCAAUUUAUCUAUUUUAAAGAAACUAAUUUACCUUCACAAUGGGUAUAUCCAUCACCAACAAACUGGACAUUUUGUACAACUGGGCAUUCACAUAUUCUUCCUCUGAAAGUGUCCUAUAAUUUUGAAAGUGAUAGAACCAAGCCUUACUCCACAUGUAUUGAAGUGCAGUAAUAUAAACAUUCACAAAAACAUGGCAGACAAGAUUGAGUUAACCAAAUACCCUGCACGCAGUAAUGUUAGCAGCAUUGUCCUGCCAACAACCACCAUUGUUUUGCAAACACUCAUUAGUUUCCAUGUCUGCAAAGGAUAAUCAAAGGUACCUGAUAUCAGUUCUUCUAUCCAAAUUGCCAGUUGAAAGAUGAGUUGAUAAGAUUUAAUUUAUUGGUUCUUCUCCAAGGAUGAUUGGAACGGGGAGAAAAGAAGAAAUGCAAAAAAGGACCUGGAGUUAAACAAAUUGAUGGCUCGGUAGUCUCUUGGAAACCUGAACAGAUUGCCUUCAGUACUGCUGCUUUUGACAGCUUACCUAGAAAUGGUUAAGAAUAAAAAUUAUACAGCAGAACAAGGUUAAACAGCCACGAAGAUAUUCAGAAAGGUUGUCAGACCUCUAUAUUGUCUGUUGUUUAUAAUAAGAGUAGGUAGUAUAGUAACAUCUCCACGAUCGCCGUUACCAAUCUGAAACAAAAAAACAUUAACCAACAGAAGGGUCUAAUUAGAGAACAGAAACAAUCCUAGAAGAAGGCCAUAUUCUGCUACAAGACAAACCUGUGAGUCCUGUUCAUUAUUGAGAACAGGGUUAUCCAGAUUCGAAGUAGGAUCUCCAACACAAUCUUUAACUUUCUUCAAAUCAACUCCUGUAAAGUAUGUGAGGGAAGAGUGAACAAGCAUGCAACAUAUCCGAAAUUAGAAUAAUGUAACAAAACAUUCCCCCAGAAAAUUUGAGAUGACGAAUGAGAAGUUUACUUAAAUUUUUUCCAAUAGAUAAAGAGAAUCAAUCAAGCCAUGACUUUAUUUUUAUGUUGAUUUUGAGCAUAAUGACUGUGAUAUUUGUAUAACGAAGAUACAAAUUUGGUUUUGUUCCACAUAUACAUAAAAGCCGGACCCUUUUUUUUAUGCUUAAGCUAGCAUUUUACAUAACAGUGAAACUUCUAAAAACAAUGACAGGAAAAUUUGGCAAAAGAUGACAAUUGCAUUAUUAUGUAAGAAAUUAUGCUAUAUACUAGUAAUGCAAAAUAAUUUUAUGCCGUAAUCUAAUCACAGAUCAUGCAUGCAUGAUAAGUUUGUUUUCUUUCACAAUAGCUACUUUAGAAAUCAUCUCAAAGGUAGUUGUUGAUGAGUUGACUGUUAAAUUUUAUGCGAAGAAAAGAAAAAGCCAUAUAUGAUUUUUACAAGAUUGGAAAAGUUGUGGCGUACACUAAAAAUCAAACAGCAAAGAGAAGCACAAGUCCACUGCAAAGUGUAUCCAACAUACCAAGAGAUUUGAUAACUUGAUCUGAGCAUUCUUCAGUAUACUUAUUCUCUCUCAUUGGGCAGCGGAUUGAAAAGUCAGUGACGUAGUCCCACCAUUGCCAAGGCUUUCCACUUUCAUUUGCCACUUUAAAGAAGCAUACUUGACGUAAGUUUUGGAUAACAACAUCUCUACCACUGUACCCUCUCUUGUAAUCUAGCUCAGGAUCUGGUGCACAGUAUCUCCCAUUAUUUAUGCACUGGGACUUGCACUGUUGGCUCAGUAUAAAUGCUUCUGGACAAUACCAAGUUAUAUAGUGAGGGGUAAACUUUGCAAACCCUUUCUGCUCUAGUAAUUGAGCUGCCCCUUUAAAACCCCUGACAAAGUUGAUUUCACUUUCACACUUUGGUCCACACUCAUCAUUGCUACUUGUCCAAAACUCAUACUCAACUCUCUCAUCAGGGUGAGGAAGAGCCUCUCUCCAAUCAAGAUUUACAUUAACCAUUUCCCCACUAGAGAGAGCACUCUUGAUUUUAUCACCUAGUGAUUUGCUGAUAAGGGCAGAAGGAAUGCUGAUCUUCUCAAUAUAAUCGUCAUUGCUGGCACCAUUUCCUUCUUCAGGUGUGUCCAUGGUGAUCAAUGGUUCUGUCCUAUCAUCUGCGACAAGAAUGGCCGCUGCUCCACCUUUCUGUGCAUUCCACGCCUUCAAAGUGAAGAAGCACUCUAACAAAAAUUUCAAAAAGAAGUUAUACAGAUUUUAUCAUUGAGAACACCUUGUAAGUCUGUAAUAGCAACUGAAAACUAAUGUCAAGAUACAUAUUCGAUUGAGAAAGUUACCCCCAACUGUCCGAGUGAUGCCAUAAAUUAAUUGCAUAAAAGAAAGAAAAAUGCAUUGCAAUGCACAGAAGAUUCAAAUUUUCCACACCAAAAACACACCAUGGAACUUUUUAUGAAAGUGUAAAACACACUCACACCAAUGAUCCUGACAGUUACUCACUCGAUAAAAGUCCAUGUAUAAAAAACAAAACAACUCUAAAUAAACACAGACAUUUUACAAUACAACAAAACUUAGAUGCAAAUCCACGUGUUCUUCUGAUAAAAUUUUCCAAUUAGAAUUAAAGUUUCGUUUCACAUUAAUAUGAAUAAUAAGGAUUUUCAGCAAAGAUCACUGUGAGAAACUGUAAUUCUAAUUGAACAAGCAUGCUAAAAGCACUUAAUUAUGAACUCCAUCUUAAAGUACUUAAUGAACCCAUCCAAGUCUUAUACUUCUUUCCUUUGUUAUAUUUGAAAACUGAAGAGCAUUGAAAGGAGUAAAUGGUAGCUAACCUCCUCGAUCAAUAAGAACAAAGCUGGGGAAGGUUCCGGGCUUGGAACUCAACGAGGAAUCAAAGGGUUUACAUCCAUUCUGAUCGGUCUUGGGGUACACCACUGAGCCAAUCAUGGUUCCUCCAUACUUAGGGACCCCAAAAUUCCCAAUUGCACAUUCAUAUAUACCUUUCAAUGAAUUUGGAGAAGUGAUUUUCAAAUUGUUCUUCUCCACCACAAACGUUCCAACACAAGACCCACAAAGCAAAAUCCAUACACACCACAAAAAACUUUGCUUUGUCCUCAUUGUCAUCAUAUGUUGAACUCUUCCCCUUCAAUAGAGAAAGAUCUCUAUCAACAAAGAGAAAAAGAAAAAAGAAAUCUUGUUUAAGUUAACAACACCACUGAAAUUGAAAUAACAUGUUUGAAGCAGUGUCUGGAUCAAAUGGAAAGCUUAGCUAAGUGCAAUGCAUGCUAUGCUGAGAAGGAAACCCAGAUGAGGAAAAGGAAUUGAAGACCACAAACAAUGGCUUAGUGGUUGUUACGUGGGAGUGUAGAAAAUCAUCCAAAUCUAGAACCAAUAUGCGAAAGAAAUGGACAAUGGGGUGGACGGGUUAGUUACAUUCAACGGUAAUUGCACUCAUUGCAAUAUAACAUCAUACGAUUACAAAUGGACCAAAUGUCGUUCAACAUGUUUUUUAAUAUAAUUCUUCUAUGUUCUUUGUGAAUGUAAAAUUUUUACUCCUCUUUAUUUCUUUUCAACCUUUCUAUAUUUUGUUUAAUUCUUAUAAAAAAGAAUGCUUUAUAUCAAAAUUUAUCGACAAUGUGACAUGGGUCUAUAUAUAUAUAGACACACACCCCCCCCCCCCCCACACACACAUAUAUAUAUAUAUAUAUAUAUAUAUAUAUAUAAUUUUUAAAAUUUACAAGUAAAACUAACAAAAUGAAAUAAUUAAAAUAAAUUUUAAUCAUAUUUUAAAUGUAUUAAAAGUAAUAUAUUUGAACUAUUAUUCUAGAGUUUAAUUUGAAAAAAGUUUAUAACAUUUUAAGUAAACAAACAAGAAGUUAAAAUAUUAAACUUGUAUCCAAGUUUUCAUGACUGAUUUCUUUUGUUUCUUUAACAAAGUAACAUCUGAAGCAAAAUUUCAUAAUAUGAUUUUUUAAGUGUUUUCUUAACUUUUUUAUUACAUCACUCGUGUCCUUUUAAAUACUUUUAGUUUUUUUUUUCUUAUUACUCUCUUGAAUUGUAAGGUUUAUCAUGAAAGUAUAAUGUUGAAAUAGAAUAAUAUUCCUUUGCUUUCUAGAUUAUGCAUGGGUUAAAAAUGAUAGUUUUGUAUAUAAAUGCUUAUUUAAGUGCUCUUUUGCAGCCUAAAUGGUUUUUUUAUAGUUAAGAAUUAUUCUCUUGCAAAUUUACCAUAGAGCAAUUGAUGUGACUAUAAAAGUAUUUAGUUAUGUAUAAGUUACUGAUCUUAACAUUUUCUAAUAAUAUUUAUAAUUAUACAAUUGUUAUAUAAAAUAACAAAGAAAUCAAACCAAUUCUACUUUUCUUUUUAAAGUCAACCAUGUUAAAAUCAUUAAUCCACAUUUUCUACCAUACAAAUUUAUUUUCCACAUUGUUUAUUAUUGUUUUCUUUGUAUUCUCGUACAUUGUAAAAAUAAAAUGUAUCCAUUAAAAGAAAAGUUAAAAAGUUAAUUCAAUCUCAUCAGAGAAUAUAUUUAAAUAAAUUUCUUAGUGAGAACUUAUAAAUGAGAAAAUAUAAAAUUAAAAAUAUACAAUUUUUUUAAUAAGAUAUAAGUUAAUUUUAAUUUUAAUUUAUAACAAAAUUAUUUGAUCUUAUUUAUUUAUUCUAAAAUCUCUUUGGAGGAAGCAUGUGAAAUCACAGCCAUGUUCUACUUUGGAAAUAUCAAUCUGAGUCAAGCUGUCAAUUGUUUUACACACUCAUUUCUGUUGUUUUUCUGUGUCAUGUUACACAUUUCUUUUAAUUCCUAAACUUUGCACAUUUUGUCAAAGACAUAACUUUGAUGAGGGAAGAGAACUGAUACAAAAUACAGCACCUGUUGUGCAAGGUGGACAGUAGACUAAUAACUGAGAGCAUGAUCCAAGGUUGCAAUAAUCAUAAAAUUGCAUCUAUAUGACAAUACUUUUUAAAGACUUUCAAUUUAAUAUUGUAUUUCUGUGUAAUGUUUAUUAGAUAUUGAGAGUGACAUUAUUGUAAUAAUUCAGACUAAAACUUCUUGAUUGAUCAAGACAACCAGUGUCAGAGACGUAAAUGGCAAAUGUAAUGUGAUAUGCAGGCUACUUCAUUGGUGCUUCAAUGGGGGUUUACUUUUUCUACUCCUUGCAUAAAUUGUGGUCAUAUUGGAUUGUUAAUAAUAUAAGGUUUGCUUACCAAGAAACAUUCAAUCACAAGGUGCUAUAAUCAUACAGCAGAAAAUGAGAAAAGAGGUUAAAGAAGCAAAAAAGUUGGCUGCAAUUGAUGGAACUAUUGUAAAACACAGGUGUACUACUACUGAUAUACUAUUCUGCAACUGUAACAUGAUGCCGUUGCCAAGCACUACAAUCUGAUAUACAAUAGCAGAUUAAACUGCACAAUAAAUUGAAGAUUUAACACAGACAGACAAUUUAUUAUGAUAGAAGAAAUCAUCAAGAAGUGACAACCGUGGAUGAGAUGGCUAAUCUUUGUUCAGGCCAUUAAGAUCAUGUUCAUGAAUUUGGAGCCUCUCAGCAACAUGACUCAUGUUAGGUCUCCCCUCUCUGUCUUCCUUUACACAUUCCAAAGCCAACGUUGCCAAUAUCUCCAUCUCAUCCAUGACAUAGUUUGAUCCUAAAGCAGGGUCAACGAUCUCAUCCACCCAAGAUGGUUCCACUUCUGAUCCUUUCUUCUUUUUCUCCCUCACCCAUGUCACCAAUCUCUCAUGAUGACCUGACUCUGCUUCUAACUCUGUGAAUUGGACACCUGUUGUUGGGCUCCUUCCAGUGAUCAUCUCCAAGAGAACAAUGCCAUAGCUGUACACAUCAACCUUGGAAGUGAUUGGCAAGUUGAAAACCCAUUCAGGUGCCAUGUAACCUCUUGUUCCUCUUAUCCUUGAGAAGCUUGAAUUGUUAAGAUUGUUCCGGUUAAGUAGCUUAGACAACCCAAAAUCCCCUACUUUUGGUUUAUAAUCAGAGUCAAGAAGUAUGUUUUGAGGCUUGAUGUCACAAUGCAAAAUCCACUCCAAGCAUUCUUCAUGUAAGUAGGCUAGACCCCUUGCUGUUCCCGCAGCAAUGUUAUACCUUUUACUCCAGUCAAGCUCAUUUGAAUUUGACGAGAGAUUCUGAGCCAAAGAACCAGUUUCCAUGUACUCAUAAACCAACAACCUAUGCUUUCCCUCUGCACAAUACCCCAACAUGCCAAUCAAAUUCAUGUGGUUAAGCCUUCCAAUGAUGCUUACUUCAGCCAGAAACUCACUCUCUCCUUGGUUUGCUACUUCAUGUAGUCUUUUUAUUGCCACAACUCGAGCAUCAGACAAGAAACCUUUAUACACGGUACCUCCACCCCCCCUUCCAAUCUCUUCACUGAAACCUUUACUUGCAUGUUUCAGUUCAGAGUAAUUGAAUUUCCUAAACCCCGUUGCAGCUGCAAGAACAUAACCUUCUCUAGGUAACAUCCCGUUUUUCCUAAACAAUAAACACCACACCAUAAAGAUGCACACGACCUCAAUACCUCCGAAGGCAAUCGCAAACCAUAAGAUGAACUUCACCAACUCGUUUUCUUUUUCUUCUACGUAAGGUCUCUCAAGUACUUUAACUACUACACCAUUUCUUCCACAAACCAAACCAUUAUUGUUAGGGCUGUCAUCAUAGUCAUGGAGGUGAUAAGGCAGUCUCAGGAAAAAUGAGUUGGUGAAACUCGGUGAACGAUGACCAUUUAACAACUGUGUCUUGACAUAGCACUGACCAUUAACACUCCUCGAAGUGCUGUGCUGAAACCCUUUGCAUUCGCACAACCGCGAGCACAGACUCACGCAUUGUUGGUACGUGUGAUUCUCAAAGAGACCAUAGUCAUAUCCGUAAAAAUCAACUCCAGGUAAGCUUAGAAAGCGAGACUUUUGCUCAGUGUUAUUGUUGCACCAAAGUUGGAAACUGGGUAUGCAACCUUGAGACCAGUCUUCACUAUCAAACCAUCUAUAUCCUGUUUCCAUGAAUGAAGAAAUAAUAAGCAUUUAUACCAAAAAGAAGAAGCUAAGGAUAAUAAUACAUGCCUUGAUUCUCUCGUGCAACUUUUUUCUUUUUUAACCUCAAGAAAUCUCAAACUAAGGACCAACACUACUGCUAGUAAUAAUGUUUCAACUAUGCUAUUUCGAAAAAGCUUCAAAAUUGAAGUGAAUACGUUAAUUUUAAUAAUGAAAACGAAACACUAAUUAUUUAAUGUUAUAAUUAUUUUCUAUUGUUUUUUCAAAUACCUGGACUACAGGAACACUUUCUUCCUAUUCUUGGCUCAUAGCUGCAAAUACUGUUGGGUCCACAAAUUCCAUGAAUAAAACAAGGUUGUCGCCGAAAUAGUCCUGACACAGACCACUUGUUUUCUCCGUCUUUCAUGCUAUACAAACGAACAUUGCCGUCGUGAUCCAGGGUCAAUCUGCGUAGGAGUAUCAUUCCGUAAUCACUUGUUUUGAAAGUGAAGUUAUCAGAAGAAACCAAAUAGCCCAAAUCAUCCACCACAACAACCCUGCUAUCGUUGAAAAUGGAUCUACCAUUGCCGUUUCCAUUCCCGAAGUUAUUGCUCUGAAGCCAAGCGUAAGGCCAGAAAACGCUGGAAACUCGAGGGCCCUGGUACAUGAGGCGUAGAACAUUCUCAAAGUCGAAGAAGAGCUUGUAGAAACCGGAAGAGUAGUUGCUCCCGCUUCUGGAGGAAACCAGGUAGGUGCUCCCUCUCAAAGGCUGAUUUGGAAGAAGCGUGUCGGUUGGGAAAUCAAAGCUCUGCCACAAAACAGCGUUGUCGGAGGAAUCUUCGAGGAGUACGAGGUUGCCGUUGUCGUGCAAACGUAAGUGGGCUUGUUUGGAUGUGGUGGCAGUGGCGGUGGACCAGACUUGGAACUGGGCGGCGUCGGUGAGAACGAGGUUGCCGGAUUUGAGAAGAGAGAGGGUGGAGCGUUUUCCGUUAACGGGGUGGUCCCGGUUGGCGAUCCAAACGAGGGUGUUGGGUG
RNAcentral lists this long non-coding RNA (72242 nucleotides) under Phaseolus vulgaris (common bean). Its description in RNAcentral is "long non-coding RNA (PVUL_LNC000576)". Lineage: Eukaryota; Viridiplantae; Streptophyta; Magnoliopsida; Fabales; Fabaceae. The record is from RNAcentral.